Molecule: long non-coding RNA, 53516 nt
Filed under: Triticum aestivum (bread wheat)
Lineage: Eukaryota; Viridiplantae; Streptophyta; Magnoliopsida; Poales; Poaceae
Description: long non-coding RNA (TAES_LNC019815)
Rfam family: MIR1120/MIR1122 microRNA precursor family (bases 51213-51333)
Source: RNAcentral
UUUUUUUUUUGGUGAAAUUCCAAUUUCAAGCGAUUCCAAUUCCAUGAUCCAAUAUCAUCGCAUAGCCUAUACCAUGUCAAUGCUUUUCCUUUCAAAGAUAAAGGGAAAACCUUUUUCAACACCUCAUCUCGGGGUAGACCUGCAAGCUUAAACAAUCCACAAAUUUGUUCCACAUAUAUCAAGUGCAUAUCAGGAUGUUCUGUUCCAUCUCCUCCAUAAGGAUUAGCUAGCAGUUGUUCUAUCAUACCUGAAGGAAUUUCAUAUUCAAUAUUUUUAGUAGGUGUGGUAGGUUGAGGGGUAGCUAAUUGUGGUUCCGAACAAGGUGAAGAUACCCCGAACAAACCCCUCAAAGGAUUGUUUUCCAUAGUAACAAGUGACAAAAAAUUUCAGCACACUAUAUAAAUGUUUCCUUACCGAAUUCCACUUACCAAAGGCGCUUCACUCCCCGGCAACGGCGCCAGAAAAUAACCUUGAUGACCCACAAGUAUAGGGGAUCAGCUGUAGCUCUUUUUGAUAAGUAAGAGUAUCGAACCCAACGAGGAGCAGAAGGAAAUGACAAGUAGUUUUCAGUAAGGUAAUGUCUGCAAGUGCUGAAAUUCUAAGUAGCGUAGCAGUUUGAUAGCAAGAUAAUUUGUAACGAGCAAGUAACGAUAGUAGUAACAAAAGUGCAGCAAGAUAGCCCAGUAUUUUUAAGGCAAAGGACAGGCCAAAACGGUUUCUUAUGAUAAGCAAAGCGUUCUUGAGGGUACACGGGAAUUUCAUCUAGUCACUUAUCAUGUUGGUUUGAUUUGUGUUCGCUACUUUGAUUAUUUGAUAUGUGGGUGGACCGGUGCUUAGGUGCUGUUCUUACUUGAACAAACCUCCUACUUAUGAUUAACCCUCCCGCAGGCAUCCGCAACUACGAGAAAAGUAUUAAGAAUAAAUUCUAACCAUAGCAUUAAACUCUAGGAUCCGAUCGGUCCCUUACGGAACAGCGCAUAAACUGGGGUUUAAGUUUCUGUCACUCUCGCAACCCACCAUCUAAUUGCUACUCCACAAUGCAUUCCCUUAGGCCCAAAAUAUGGUGAAGUGUCAUCUAGUCGACAUUCACAUGACACCACUAAGGGAAUCACAACAUACAUACUAUCAAAAUAUCGAACACAUAUCAAAUUCACAUGAUUACUUGCAACAUGACUUCUCCCGUGACCUCAAGAACAAAAGUAACUACUCACAAAUGAUAAAUAUGCUCAUGAUCAGAGGAGUAUUAAAUAGCAUAAUGGAUCUGAACAUAUAAUCUUCCACCAAAUAAACCAUAUAGUAAUCAACUACAAGAUGUAAUCAACACUACUAGUCACCCACAAGCACCAAUCUAUAGUUCCGACAACAAGGUUGAAUACAAGAGACGAACUAGGGUUUGAGAUGAGAUGGUGUUGUUGAAGAUGUUGAUGGAGAUUGCCCUCCCCAAGAUGGGAGAGUUGUUGGUGAUGAUGAUGACGAUGAUUUCCCCCUCCGGGAGGGAACUUCCCCCGGCGGAAUCGCUCCGCCGGAGGGCAAAAGUUCUCCUGACCAAGUUCCGCCUCGAGACGGCGGCGCUCCGUCCCGAAAGCCUUCUCCUUUUUUAAGGUCAAAAUGACUUAUAUACCAGAAGAUGGGCACCGGAGGUGGGCCGAGGAGGGCACAACCCACCAGGGCACGCCCUCUGGUAGUUAUUUGCUCCAAUAUUUCUUAAAUAUUCCAUAAAAAUUCUUCGUGAAGUUUUGGCUCAUUCGGAGUUGUGCAGAAUAGGUAGCCUGACAUAGCCUUUUCAGGUCCAGAUUCCCAGCUGCUGGAAUUCUCCCUCUUGGUCUGUACCUUGCAAAUUAUGAGAGAAAAGGCAUUAUAAUUACUCCAAAAAGCAUUAUUAUGGAUAAAAACAUCAUAAAUAACAGUAAGAAAACAUGAUGCAAAAUGGACGUAUCAGAGACCCCGGCGCAUGCCCGGAGCUUUACACCACAAUGAUUGAGCUCCGAAGCACCUCCAACUACCAAGGGCGCCCAAGUACCCAAGAGGAACAAGCUCUAGGGUACCAAGCACCCAAGAGUAAUAAGCUUCUCAACUUGUAACUUCCACGUAUCGCCGUGGAGAACUCAAACAGAUGUACCGAAUGCAAUGGCAAGGGCACACGGAGUGCCCAAGUCCUUCUCUCUCAAAUCCCACCACAACAACUAAUGCUAUGGAGGAAAAUGAGAGGAAGAGCAAAGAAGAGAACACGAAGAACUCCAAGAUCUAGAUCCAAGGGGUUCCCCUCACAUAGAGGAGAAUGUGAUUGGUGGAAAUGUGGAUCUAGAUCUCCUCUCUCUUUUCCCUCAAGAACAAGCAAGAAUCAUUGGAGGGAUUGAGAGAUAGCAAGCUCAAAGAAGGUCAACAAUGGGGGAAGAACACGAGCUCAAGAGAUUAAAUGCAAUGGGGAAGAAGACCCCCUUUUAUAGGCCCUCCCAAAUCCAAUUGUUUUGCCUUCAGCCCGCACACAAGCGGUAGUACCGCUCGGGCGAGCGGUACUUCCGCUGGCCCGGUAGUUUCAGCCGUAACGUGCAACUCGGAAACUCAAGGAGGCGGUAGUGCCGCCGGAGCGGUACUACCACUAGGUGUUGCGUGUACACGUGAAACCAUGAUAGUAGAGUAGGACAGCGUGGUACUACCACCCACUACUGCCGCUCUACUUCCGCGCAGAGGAAAACCGAAUCCAGAAGCUAAAAACAAGCGGUAGUGCGCACGACACUGGACCGCGGAAGUACCGCACAAGCGGUACUACCGCUGUCCGGCGCGGUGAUACGUCUCCAACGUAUCUAUAACUUUUGAUUGUUCCAUGUUGUUAUACUAUCAAUCUUGGAUGUUUUAUAAUCAUUUUAUAGUCAUUUUAUAUCAUUUUUUGGUACUAACAUGUUGACAUAGUGCCAAGUGCCAGUUGCUGUUUUCUGCAUGUUUUUUACAUCGCAGGAAAUCAAUAUCAAACGGAGUCCAAAUGCCACGAAACUUUACAGAGAUUUUUUAUGGACCAGAAGACACGUAAUGGGCCCUGGCUGCGCCUGGGGGUGCUCCGAGGAGAGCACAACCCACCAGGGCGCGCCAGGAGGCCCAGGCGCGCCCUGGUGGGUUGUGCCCACCUCGGGUGCCCCCCGGACAGCCUCUUUGCUUUAUAAAUACCCCAAUAUUCCAGAAACCCUAGGGGAGUCGAUGAAAUAUUAAUCCAGCCGCCGCAGAGUCCAGAACCACCAGAUCCAAUCUAGACACCAUCUCGGAUGGGGUUCACCACCUCCAUUGGUGCCUCUCCGAUGAUGCGUGAGUAGUUCUUUGUAGACCUUCGGGUCCGUAGUUAGUAGCUAGAUGGCUUCCUCUCUCUCGCUGAAUUCUCAAUACAAUGGUCUCUUGGAGAUCCAUAUGAUGUAACGCUUUUGCGGUGUGUUUGUUGGGAUCUGAUGAACUUUGAGUUUAUGAUCAGUUAUAUCUUUUUAUAUCCAUGAAAGUAUUUGAGUUUCUUUGAUCUCUUUUAUGCACGAUUGCUUAUAGCCUCGUAUUUCUUCUCCGGUAUUUGGGUUUUGUUUGGCCAACUUGAUCUAUUUAUCUUGCAAUGAGAAGAGGUGCUUUGUAGUGGGUUCGAUCUUACGGUGCUUGAUCCCAGUGACAGAAGGGGAACCGACACGUAUGUAUCGUUGCUACUAAGGAUAAAAUGAUGGGGUCUAUCUCUACAUAGAUAGAUCUUGUCUACAUCAUGUCAUCGUUCUUAUUGCAUUACUCCGUUUUCCCAUGAACUUAAUACACUAGAUGCAUGUUGGAUAGCGGUCGAUGUGUGGAGUAAUAGUAGUAGAUGCAGGCAGGAGUCGGUCUACUAAUCUUGGACGUGAUGCCUAUAUAAUGAUCAUUGCCUGGAUAUCGUCAUGAUUAUUUGAAGUUCUAUCAAUUGCCCAACAGUAAUUUGUUCACCCACCGUUUGCUAUUUUCUCGACAGAAGCCACUAGUGAAACCUACGGCCCCCGGGUCUCUUCCUCAUAUAUUUGCCUUUGUGAUCUACUUUUCCUUUGCAUUUAUUUUCAGAUCUAUUAAACCAAAAAUAUAAAAAUACCUUGCUGCGUUUUCUUAUUUAUUUUAUUUGGCGUUCGAUCUAUCAAUCUACUACAAUUUCCUCACGUCCAUUUGCCCUUCUUGGGGCGCCGCUACCCAAAAGGGAUUGCCAACCCCUUUUACACGUCGGGUUGCGAAGAUUUGUUAUCUCUGUGUAGGGGCUGUUUACGUUGUGUUGCUUGGUUCUCCUACUGGUUCGAUAACCUUGGUUUCUUCACUGAGGGAAAUACCUAUCGUCGUUGUGCUGCAUCAUCCCUUCCUCUUUGGGGAAAUACCGACGUAGCUUCAAGCUGCAUCAGUCGGUACUACCUCUAGGGAGCAACAAAAUGGCCUAAGCAAAACAGAUGGAUGCAGGAAAGCCUAAACUGCCAUAACUUCUUCAAAUGAGCUCCGAAUUGAGCAAAUGAUAUAGAGAUGUGAAACCCCUAUCAAUGAAGAACCGGCAAAAACCCCAACAUCGAAAACAUCAUAGAAGAUGCAUAUGAACUCCGUUUUCGAUGAACUCGAGCUUCUCAUCAAGAUGACCAUAAGUUCCAAAUCUCACAAGGAGAAACACCAAACAAUAACCAAGAAAUAUGAUGCAAGGAUGCAAUGGUUUGUGCUCUCUACGAAUGAUACGAUCAAGCUACUCACUUGAGAGCCCCUUUGAUAGUACGGCCAUUGAUCCUAUAACCCGGUCUCCCAACUACCACCAUGAUACCGGUAAAAUAGAAAACCUAUCAAGGGAAAACCUUUUCCUUGCACAUAGUCCACUUGAGCUAGAUGAUGGCGAUCUUGAUUUCCUCAAGUUGGACCACCUUUCUUGAUUGUGUUGGCUUGAUGAAGACUAGUUGAUUGCUCCCCAUACUCCACUAUGGGUGAGCCAAUCUUUGGCACAUCUUCACAAGUCCAUUGUCACCACAAUGGACGGCAAGCUUCAAGCAUGAUCUCUUCGUGAUGCUUCACUUGAACUUGCACACGACAAUCUUGAUGACGAUCACCACUUGAUGUCAUCCUCCAUGGGUUAUAUGAGAUCUUCCUCUUGACUCAAGCCCAUGGAAACAUACCUAACCCCACAUAGAACUCUCACGUAGACCAUGGGUUAGUACACAAAGCGUAAUGGACAAUGCUUACCAUACCACGGGAUCACUUGAUCCCUCUCGGUACAUCUUCUACGCUUUGUGAGUUGAACAACUUGAUUCACUCUUUGACUUAGUCUUGAUCAACAAUGAACCAUGAUCAAUCUUUAUAUAAUUCCUUGAAUAGCACCUUGGUCAACACAUAAACUCCUUGAAACCAACAGAUGGACUUCAAGAAAUUCCCUAUGGACAAAUCCUUCAAUUAUAACUCAAGGCAACCAUUAGUCCAUAGAGUUUGUCAUCAAUUACCAAAACCAAACAUGGGGGCACCACAUGUUCUUUCAGUAUUCAAGGAGACAUUUGCGGUCCCAUUCAACGAUUAUCUGGACCUUUCAGGUACUUGAUGGUCUCAUUGACGCAUCUACAUGAUGGUCACAUGUGUGUCUUUUAUCCACAAGGAACCAUGCAUUUACCAAGAUAAUGAGGCAAGUCAUUAAGUGAUACGUCUCCAACGUAUCUAUAAUAUUUUAUUGUUCCAUGCUAUUAUAUUAUCUACUUUGGAUGUUUUAUAUGCAUUAAUAUGCUAUUUUAUAUCAAUUUUGGGACUAACCUAUUAACCUAGUGCCCAGUGCCAGUUUCUGUUUUUUCCCUUGUUUUUGUCAUUUACAGAAAAUCAAUAUCAAACGGAGUCCAAAUGGAAUAAAACUUUACGGUGAUUUUUCUUGGACCAGAAGACAUCCACGAAGCUUCAGGAAGAGGCUAGGAGACCCACGAGCCGGUCACAAGCCACAAGGGCGCGCCCUAGGGGGGCACGCUCCUAGGGAAUUGUGGGCCCCUCGUGGCUCUUCUAACCCUAACUCCAGCUCUAUAAAUACCCAAAUAUUACCCCUACGAUAGAGGGCACACCAAAUAUACUUUUCCACCACCGCAAGCUUCUGUCUUCGUGAGAUCCCAUCUUGGGACCUUUUCCGGUACUCCGCCGGAGUGGGAUUCGAUCACGGAGGGCAUCUACAUCAACCUUGCUGACCUACCGAUGAUGUGUGAGUAGUUUACCACAGACCUACGGGUCCAUAGCUAGUAGCUAGAUGUCUUCGUCUCUCUCUUUGAUCUUCAAUACAAUGUUCUCCUUAAUGUUCUUGGAGGUCUAUUCGAUGUAAUCUUAUUUUGCGGGGCAUUUGUUGAGAUCCGAUGAAUUGUGGAUUUAUGAUCAGAUUAUCUAUGAAUAUUAUUUGAGUCUUCUUUGAACUCUUUUAUGCAUGAUUAAGAUAGCUUUGUAUUUCUCUCCAUCUAUCGAUUUGGUUUGGCCAACUGAAAGUGCUAGUUAUCGACUAGAGGGGGGGUGAAUAGGCGAUUUUUUAUGGAAGUCUUCAAAACACGGGGGCUUUGAAGACAAACAGUAGAAAUGAACCUAUUGAUAUGCAGCGGAAGGUAGACUACACUAGACAAGCCAUAGUCAAGUAAGCAAUGAAGUGAGAGCACGAAGACUAUCAGCAGCUAGGUAGGAUGGAUCAGGAUGCAAGAUAGUAUGAAGCCAAACAAUAAACAGUCUUCACACAGUGAAGACUUACAGAUCAUGCAAGCAGGUAAUGACUUCACGAAGACAAACUAUAAGUAAAGGGAAGGGAAGGAUAGAACCAGUUGCUUGGUGAGGACAAGGAUUUGGUAGACCAGUUCCAGUUGCUGUGACAACUGUACGUCUGGUUAGGGACGCUGAGAUUUAACUCAGAAGACCGCGUCUUCACCUUAUUCCCCUUGAGCUAAGAACACUUAGUCCUCGCACAAUCACUCUGGUAAGUCUUAUAGGUAGACUUUCGAACCUUCACAGACUUCGUUCACUGGCAAUCCAUAAUGGCUCUUGGAUUCUCAGAACACAACGCCUAACCGGCUGGAGGAUUCACAGUCCUCAAGUGUAACAAGUCUUCAGAUCACGCGGACAGAAAGACUUCAAUGAUGCCUAACACUCUUUGGCUCUAGGUGUUUUGGGCUUUUUCCUCACAAGGAUCUCCCUCUCUCAAAUGCUUCGGAGGUGGGUUGCUCUCAAACGACAAAAGCCGUGCACUAACUCUGAGCAGCCACCAAUUUAUGGUGUAGGGGGCGGGCUAUUUAUAGCCAGGAGGCAACCCGACCUGAUUUGUCCGAAAUGACCCUGGGUCACUAAGGAACUGACACGUGUCCAAUGGUCAGAUUUCAAACACACGCGGCAGCUUGACUUGGGCUACAAGUAAAGUUGACUCAUCCAGCUCUGGAUAAGAUUUGCUCUCAUUGUCUUCGCUCGAAGACAUAGGAUUUGGUUGAGCAUCACAUCAGUCACUGUGACUUUGUUCACUUGGACCCCACUUAAUAGUACGGUGGUUCCUAUGACUCAACAAAGAAGAAAAGGAAACUACGAAACAACUAUGUCUUCGUAUUCCAUAGUCUUCAUGUGAAUGUCUUCUCAUGUCAUAAUCUUCACUGUGAAUUUCUUCACAGACCACCAUUGUCUUCAAUGUCUUCACACAUUUUAGGGGUCAUCUCUGGUAGAUAAACCGAAUCAAUAAGGGACUACUACCUGUGUUAUCCUGCAAUUCUCACAAACACAUUAGUCCCUCAACCAAGUUUGUCAUCAAUACUCCAAAACCAACUAGGGGUGGCACUAGAUGCACUUACAAUCUCCCCCUUUUUUGGUGAUUGGUGACAAACUGGUUGAAGUUUUCAACGGGGAUAAAAGUAUGUGAAAGUUAAGAAUUAAGGUAUUAUCUUCAUAAGUAGCAAAAGGCUCCCCCUGAAGAUGUGCAUAUAAGUAGUUUGCCUUUGAAUGCAAAUGCACAUGGCAGGUUUUACUUUGUGGAGAUCCUCUUCAACUUAUGAAGACAGUUCAUCGUGCAUAUAAACAUAUAAUGACGAUAAUGACAUGCACAAUGAAAAAUGGACGUCUGCAGAAUGUCUUCAUGCGGAAUUUAUCAUCGCAUCACAAGGUAGCAGAAAAAGUAGCAGACGACCAUCGAGUUUAAGUGUUACAACUCAAAGAACCAAAUGUUUCAAAAGACGAGAGUUUUAAAGACUUAGCAAAAAUAAUGCAACCACCCAUAUGGACCCGCUUGAAGACUAUCAACUCAUAAGCUUCUCCCCUUUUGUCAGUAAUGACCAAAAAGGUUUGAAGACAUAGAGUAUCUACUCGUUCCCAGUGGGAGUAGAUGAUGGAGCAGGGUCGAUGUUGGAAUUAGGUGGUGCAGACGGGCCUGACGCAGUGUCGAGAUGCAGGGCAGCCAUGGUCGGUGAAGUGGCGUCGUCUUCUUCAUCGACUACUCUCGCAACAACUGUUGCAGCCGAAGACGAAUGUUCAGAGUCUUCAAUAGACGGCGUGCGACGCCAGCUUGCAUUUUGUGUAGCCCUUGAAUCAAACUUGAAAUUCUCUGUGAAGCCAUCUUCGUGAAGAUCGUCUUCAGGACAGAGCAUUGUGAGACUCUUCCAGGACCGCCGACAUGCUUCAUGGGCAACAAACGAGUCCUUGGUGGCCAAGUUUCGAAUGCGAUUGACAUCCACCAAGAUACUCAGCAUCUGACGCUUCAGCCAGUCAUGAUGCUUAUCCUGCUUCUGAUGUAAUGCCACAAGAAGCUCUCGGUCAUUGAGUACACGAGAACGCUUCCGAGGCCUUUGGGCAACCGUACUUGCAGUGGCUUCGGUGUUGGCACGAUGUGGCACUCUCAUAUUUCCAGCCAGAGGAUAAGCGGGGGUUGCAGCAUUGGGGACAAGAAUUCCUUCGAUUGGUUGCGUGAAGCUUUGGUGUUCAGCAUUCUGAAGAUGUAGAGGCUUCUUGGCAGGUUCUGGGUAGAUGGCUUCAAUGGACAGAUCAACCUCAGGCAGAAAAACAAUGUGGUUGCGUGCUGAGGGCUGAUAGUCAAUAGUGGAGUGGAGCUUGAUCAGUCGCAUCACCCAUGGAGCAUAGAACUUUAGGCCAAAUAGAUCAAUCCCAGAAGCAGCUAGUUGUCUGAUGAAGAAAUCCUGGGUGUUGAAUAUGAUGCCAUUGAUGAUAUAAAAUACCAAAGUCUUCAUUGCUCCUUCAAGUUUAGCUUCAGAAGAGAUGUCCCUUGAUCGGCCAUAGAGUACGCCUCAAAAUGUGGUAUACUGUGCGUCGCAAGUACUCGAGGUCCUUUACAAAUAAUUCCUUUGGGUAUUCUGCAUCUUGAGGCAAUGGCUUCAUCAUACUAAGCAUCUGACUCAUGUUUGAUUUGGGGCUCUGAAAGAUACUCUGCAGUUCAUCUCUAUGACGCUGACAACCAAGCUCGUAUAACUCACCUGGAGUGGGCAGGGAAGUAAGCUCGAUAAUGUCUUGAGCUUUCGCUUCGUGAUGUACAUCACCUGACAUCCACUCAAGGAUCCAUGUCUUCGGAUCCCUGUUGUAGCCGCGAAUAUGAAGUGUGGCAUAGAACUGCAGCAGAAGCUCUUCAUUCUAGUGCUCUUUGUCUGCCACAAACGGCAGAAGACCAACAUCCCUAAAGCAGUCAAGAGCUUCUUCAAAACAGGGGAGCCCAGCUAUAGCUUCACAAUCUAGACGCAUGUGUGGAAAGAUCCGCUCUUGAUUGUACAGAAUGCAGGAGUAGUAGCUUCGCUGCUGAUGACUCCAAAAUCUAUCUGAAGAGAUCUUAGGCUUCGUGUAAGGAUUCUUGGCACUGUCAAAGAAAGUGUUGUGCUCUCUCAAGCUGAGCACGCUAAAAGAACCCUGUGUCGUUGGAGCACUUGGAAGCCUUGGUAGCAUAGGCUUGGGCUUAUGAACUUGAGGCCUCUGCUCCACAUGGUAAUCAUAUUGAGGUCCGAGAGUAGUGGGUGGAACCAUAACUGGCCAUCUGACUGUGACUAGCUGUCCUUCACGAUUGAAUGCUUGUUCAAUGGUGUGCGGCCUUGGAGGAGGAACAUCAUCACUAGAGCUGAUUGGUGGGACAAUGGUGUCAGUGGCAGCAUUGUCAUCAGGCUCCACAUUGUCUCCAGCCAUGACUGUGUCAUUGGCUUCAGUGGCGUUGUUGGUGGCAGCCUCAGUGUUUUCAACCUCCAUUUGUUCAAGGACAGGAGGGUCGGGCACAAACACAUUCUCCUUGAGAAUGACUUGAUCACUUGCUGGGGGUGUGUCAACUCUUUCUUCUUCUCUUUCUUCAUCGGCUGAUGCAGCCGGAAUGUCUUCGGCGACUUUGGCUUCAGACUCAGAGGCAUUCGCAGUAGGGGUGGCUUCAGGAAAUACUUGACGUGCGACUGAGCUUUGGUGCACUUCCCCUUAUGGAAUGCUCGACAUGGUGACCUGUGGCCUGGGGCCUUUGCGAAGCCUGCGAAAUACGGACAACGCCUUUGGUGAAGGAGUGGUCUGUACCAUGUAACUGUCAUUGUCAAGCACCGGAGUGGUGGCUUGAGGUGGUGGAGUUCUGGGUGUCUCAUCAUGUACUGGGGUGUCUAGCUUGCUAUUGGCGCUCGGCCCAUGAGUCAUCCUGAGCGAUUGGCGUCAAUGGACGACCAAUGCUGAUAAUUUCACUGCUUGUUGGAGCAGGCGAUGAUACCGACUGGGGCUCGAGCUCAGGAAGGACUACAUCAUCAUCAACAUUGUCUUCACGACCAAUGUCUUCAGCUGAGUUGAGGUCAGCAGCUGGAAUUUGUUCAUCUUCUGGAGCCUCUUUGGAAGCAGGCUCAUGGAUCACAAGACGACGCUCAUGGUUGGUUGAGGCAGGAAGGGCAACAGAAAUGGGUUCAACAAUGAGGGGCUCAGUGGCUGUAGCACGCUCUUUCUUUGAAGACUUUGUCUUCAAUUUCUUCUUGGAUGGGGCAUCAUCAGAAGUAUCCUUGUGCUUGUGUUUCCUGGCUUCGGCUUCAGCUGCCCUCGUUUUCUUCAGCUCUGAAGCUGCUGAGGUGACCUUAGGCUUCGAGCCAGUCAUACUGGUAGGGAAGACAAUGUGAGGUUCUUCCUGCCUUGGUGUUUCAGUUUGGGCCGCAGCAGGCUUCUUCUUUUGCUUGGCAGCCAUCCUGGGGUCGAUGCCAGGACGCCCAAGAGCUUUUCUCUUCUCAGCUUCAUUAUGUGCUUGAACACAUUUCUGCGCAAAGUACUUCAUGCAUUCCCGUGAGCCUUUUGCUUCUUCACGCUUCUUGUGGAAUUGUUCCUUAAGAUCAUGCAGCAUCUUCUUGAAGAUCUGCACAUCAGCCACACUGAGCUUGGCCAUAUUCUUCUUGAAAUGCGCCUUCUCAUAAUCAAUCUUGUUUUUGAGCUCGACGAUUUUCUGAGCCAAGGCCAACUCAUUAGCAAUGGCUCUGUGAAACGUGACGCUUAUGUCCACAGGCAGCUGAAGAUCAUCAAUACUGAUGCUCUGGUCACCAAACGACUCAUCGAUGAAGUUGUUCAGAAUAUCAACAUCAAAGAGGGGUAGAUCAUUGAAGAUUUCUGCCUCUUGCUUGCUCUUGAUCAGCAUCUCAAGUGCUUCAUCACCAAGAUCUUCAUCACUAGACAGAUCAAUGGUGUCUUCCUCGUUGCGCAGAACGGCAGCAGGAGUCAGUUCAUGCCCAGAGAUCUUCUUGGGCUUCUCCGUCUUCUUCGUCCUCUUGGAGACACGAGACAAGUCUUUAGACUGCACACUGGGUUCAGGAGGUGCAGUCUUCAAUGGCUUCACAGUCAAAGCUUUUGGUGCGGCAGAGGGCUUCAAAGCUUUUGAUUUCUUCUUCUUCUGCUUCGGUGGUGCUGGCGCAUCUUCAGAGUCUGCGUCAUCAGCGGAGUGAUCCACUGUAUCCCUCUGAGCAGCAAUGUGAGAGAGGAGCCCGUUGAAGCUGUUGAAGGGGCCGAUGACAUUGGGAUUAGCUUCACGUGCGCCAUCCAGCCUUGGAGAAGAUGGACCAGGGUUGAAGUUGAGUCCAAGAUCCCUCUUGCUCUUUGCAGCUGACUCUUUUGCAAACUGAUAAUUGCGCUUGAAAAGAUUGUCUUUGCGACACCAUAACAUGGAUGAUGGGUCGGCAUUCUCAAGCUUCGGUCCUCGGACCAUGCAUGGGUAGAAACCUUGGGCGAUAGCUUCAGGCUUCAAUUUUGGCUGCAGAUUCUUGUACAGAAUAUCGCCCCAUGGGCGCUUGAUGGCAUUCUUCUCAGCAUAUUCAGCAGUGACAAAGUUGUACUUGAACCACUGUUCUACCCAAUAUCUUCGAAUCCAUUGGAUUCGGGUCUUGCGCUGAUUGUAAUUUUCUUCAGGAUCAGUUUUGUACAUUUCAUACAGAUCCGGAGGCAGAUCUAGAGCUGUGUUGCCUCUGUGCUGCCUGCCACCUUUCCUAGCAGACUUUUCUGUGGCCAUGAUAUUCAAGCAGAUAGGCUUCAGAACAGCGAAAGGCUUCCGUCUACUGGUCAGACAAGAACUUGCUUCAGGGGAGUGAAUAUGAUGUUGUAAGAACUCUGCAAAUGAAUGCAGACUAUGAGAACCAAGGGAUUCUCCCACGGACAUGUACAUGUGACAGCAUUAGAGGUGCGAGGGAAGGGGAAGAGGUCAUAUGCAUUCUCAGAAGAUUUUGAAGAUAAAUCAGUUUGAAGACAUUAACCUCAUAAAGCGAAGACAUUCACUUAUUUGAAGAGAGUUGGUUCCAGAUUUGUACGAAUCCAUGAAUAAGUACAAGUGAGGAAUCUAACUAGUUAUGAAGAAUAAGUGAAUACCUUUAGCAUGAUAUGAGAUGCAGACAGAGACAGAUCCAGAUUUGAAAGUGUAGAAACCACUUUUGGUUGAAGUGGAUGGAUUUGACGGAUCAAAAAGACAGUAAAAAGUGAGAUUUAAUUACCGCUGACGAACUGCUGGACAAGGCAAAGUUAGAAGCCGAGAAGUUCAAUCUCCCGCGCCCUAACUUGGCGGCGGAAGACACCUACGGCGGCGGCGGAGAGGACGAGGUCCACGGCCGGCGUCGAAGAAAUCGCGGCAGCUAAGCGCUUCGUCUCCGGCGUCGACGCGAACUAGCGGAGGCGCUAGGGUUUGAGCGAGGUGGCGAGGUGGAAGAAGAGAUAAUGACCGCGGGGUGUGUGUAUUUAUAAGGAAAGGGACUGCACAACGUAAUUACGCAGGUGCCCCUGGCGGUUCACAUCUGAAGGACACGUGGCCUCCAUGCAACUUAUUGGAAGUUGUUCCAUGUUCCCACGCACGCCUGGAUUGUCGGGUGGUCGUCCCGGCUUCUCCGGUAUUCAGGCACAAGGGAUAUAGCAUUAAAACAGAUUUAAAUGUUUGUCUCUGUGUCUUCUUCUGACAAGGACUCAGUGAAGACAUUUGACAGGUUUCAACAGAAUGCAUAUAACUUGGAUAGAUAGAAUUUGAGGAAGAAGCACAGAAGGGGUUAGGGUCCGAUCACAUUCACUUAGAUCAGAAAAAUUCAGGUAUGAAGACAUAGCUAUAAGUGAAUGUUGUAGAGGACAGAACACGCAUAUAUAUAUAUAUAUAUAUAUAUAUAUAUAUAUAUAUAUAUAUAUCAGUCUAAGACCAACUCAACAUUGCGAAGAUAAACCAUGAGGUCAAAUCAAUGUUUGAAUACAAACCAAAUGCAAAGAUUAUGCAAUCAUGACGCCAAAUGAAACACUUCAAGAAGAUUUUGGUGGUGGCGUUACCCACCAUAUAGGAAGUAUUAGACCUAGACACGGCGCACAAUUAUCGUGGCGCUCCGAAGUCAAAUUCCGCGUUAAUGUAUUCACACUUAGAGUGUAUGUCUUCAUUGAUUGAAGAUAUACAUUACUUCGUGUGUUGCACAUCUAAGUCAUCAACAUGCAUAAGCGUUAGGAUGUGUGUCCAAUUACAGGACAUUUGAGGAUUCUAGGAUAUUUAGCUCACACCGCAACUUGCAAAACCUUUUCUCAUCCAAGGGCUUUGUGAAGAUAUCUGCCAAUUGCUCUUCAGUGUUGACGUGAAUGAUAUCAAUAUCUUCCUUCAUGACAUGAUCUCUGAGAAAGUGAUGAUGGAUCUGAAUGUGCUUUGUCUUCGAGUGCUGAACAGGGUUGUUGGCAAUCUUGAUGGCGCUUUCAUUAUCACAGUAGAGUGGAACUUGCUUCAGGUGGAUGCCAUAGUCCUUGAGAGUUUGCUUCAUCCAUAGAAGCUGAGCGCAGCAAGAUCCAGCAGCAAUGUAUUCAGAUUCAGAAGUGGAGAGGGAUACACAGUUCUGCUUCUUUGAAGACCAACAGACAAGCGAUCGUCCAAGAAAGUGACAUGUGCCUGAUGUGGACUUGCGAUCAACCUUGUCACCAGCAUAAUCAGCAUCUGAGAAUCCAACUAGAUCAAACUCUGAACCCUUGGGAUACCAUAAUCCUAGAGUUGGGGUGUAAGCCAAAUAUCGAAGAAUUCGCUUCACUGCUAGGUGAUGCGAUUCCUUUGAUGCCGCUUGGAAUCGGGCAUACAUGCAAACACUAAGCAUUAUAUCUGGCCUAGAUGCACAUAAAUAGAGUAAAGAGCCAAUCAUGGAGCGGUAUACCUUUUGAUCAAAUUCUUUACCAUUGUCGUCGGGGCCAAGAUGACUUUUGGUUGGCAUUGGCGUCGUGUAUCCUUUGCAGUCUUGCAUUCCAAACUUCUUCAAGCAAUCGUUGAGGUAUUUCUCUUGUGAUAUGAAGAUGCCGUUGCUCUGCUGACGGAUUUGAAGACCGAGGAAGAAUUUCAGCUCAACCAUCAUGGACAUCUGAUAUUGCUCUUGCAUCAUGUACCCAAACUCAUCACUGUAUCUAUUGUCAGUGCAGCCAAAGAUAAUGUCAUCCACGUAGAUUUGGCAUACAAACAGUUCACCGUCAUAUGUCUUCGUGAAGAGUGUGGGAUCCAGGGAACCAUGUUUGAAGCCUUUGCUCUUCAGGAAAUCUUUGAGCGUCUCAUACCGAGCGCGAGGGGCUUGUUUGAGGCCAUACAGUGCCUUGUUGAGCUUGUAUACCAUGUUAGGAUGCUUUGCGUCUUCAAAACCAGGUGGUUGUCCAGCAUACACUUCUUCUUCAAUUUGCCAUUGAGAAAGGCACUCUUUACAUCCAUUUGGUAAAGAAGGAUGUUGUGAUGGUUGGCAUAGGCUAGCAGUAUGUGAAUGGCUUCAAUCCUAGCCACCGGAGCAAAUGUUUCAUCGAAGUCAAUCCCUUCUACUUGAGUGUAACCUUGAGCAACGAGUCGAGCCUUGUUUCUGACGACUUGACCAUGCUCAUCUUGUUUGUUGCGAUAGAUCCAUUUGGUGCCUAUGAUGUUGUGCUUGCGAGGAUCAGGACGCUUUACUAGUUCCCAAACAUUGUUCAGCUCGAACUGUUGAAGCUCUUCUUGCAUAGCUUGAAUCCAUUCAGGUUCCAUGAAGGCUUCAUCAACUUUCUUGGGUUUAGAUAUAGAGACAAAUGCAAAGUGCCCACAGAAAUUUGCUAGUUGUGUUGCUCUUGAACGAGUGAGUGGACCAGGUGCAUUGAUGCUAUCGAUUAUCUUCUCAAUAUGUACUUCAUUUGCAACACGAGGAUGAACUAGACGAAGAUUUUGCUCUUGCUGAUCAUUGUCUUUGUUUUCAGCAUUGACUUCAGGCUGAGCAGUGUCUUCGGGUUGAUUAGGUGCAGAAAUGAUGAUUUCUUCUUCAGCCUGUGCCUCUGAAGGUAUGAUCUCUCCAGUACCCAUAAGCUUGAUAGAUUCACUUGGUGAGGCUUCAUCUAGCACAUUUUGCAUGUGCUCUCUUUGCGAGCUGUUAGUCUCAUCGAAUCAUACAUCCAUAGUUUCAACCACUUUAUAGUGAAAGAGGUUGAAGACUCUGUAGGAGUGUGAAUCCUUUCCGUAGCCAAGCAUAAAACCUUCAUUUGCUUUCGGUGCAAAAUUUGAAGUGUGAUGUGGAUCCUUGAUCCAGCACCUAGCACCAAAUACUCUGAAGUAACUGACGUUUGGCUUCUUACCAGUUAGGAGCUCAUAGGAUGUCUUCUUGAGAAGCUUGUGAAGAUAAACACGGUUGAUGACAUGGCAUGCAGUAUCAAUGGCUUCAGGCCAAAACUUUCUUGGUGUCUUUACUCAUCAAGCAUCGUCCGUGCCAUCUCAAUGAGGGUUCUGUUCUUGCGCUCCACGACGCCAUUCUGCUGAGGUGUGUAAGGAGCUACGAACUCAUGUGUGAUGCCCAAUGUAUCAAGAUAAGUGUUGAGGCUGGUGUUCUUGAAUUAUGUGCCGUUGUCACUUCUGAUAUGCUUGAUCUUGAUGCCACAGUUGGUCAUGGCACGAUUGGCGAAUCGCCUGAAGACAUCCUGCACUUCAUUCUUGUAGAGAAUUAUGUGCACCCAUGUAUAUCUAAAGUAAUCAUCAAUAAUGAUGAAACCAUAGAGACAAGCAGUGGUAGUGGGGGUAGCGUAGUGAGUAGGGCCAAAUAAUUCCAUGUGAAGCAGCUCGAAGGGACGAGUUGUCGUCAUGAUUGUUUUCGAGGGAUGCUUGGCCCUAGUCAUCUUUCCAGCUUCGCAGGCACCACAUAGAUGAUCCUUCUUGAACUUGACGCCCUCGAUGCCUACGACAUGCUUCUUCUUCGUGAGAGUGUACAAUUUCCUCAUGCCAGCAUGCCCUAGCCUUCGAUGCCAGAGCCAGCACUCUGAAGCUUUUGCUAGAAGACAUACGGCCAAUUGUGGUCCUGCUGAGAAAUCUACCAUAUAUAGAUCGUCUUUUCGAUACCCUUCAAAGACUAGAGAUUUGUCAAAUUCCAUAAGCACAAGGCAACGAUAUUUUCCAAAUAUCACAAUCAUGUUCGGAUCACAAAGCAUUGAGACAGACAUUAAGUUGAAACCAAGGGAUCCAACAAGCAUCACUUUAUCCAUGUGCUGAUCCUUUGAGAUUGCAACUCUACCUAGACCCAAUACCUUGCUUUUACCGGUGUCAGCAAAUGUGAUGUGACUCUUGUCAGAUGGACGUAGGGUUGAGUCCAUAAGAAGACUUCGAUCACCAGUCAUGUGGUUAGUGCAUCCACUGUCCAUAAUCCAUUCUGAAGCCUUUGGUGUCAUACCCUACAGUGCAGUUUGGGGGAUAGGCUUCACCAAGGGUAUUGUGAAGCAUAAACAUUUAACGAACAAGCGGAUUAUUAAAGUUCAGAUCUUUGUUAGGAUAAAUAGGAUGUUUGUCAAGGAAUCCUGGGACAAAAUACAUAGUAAGACCAUUUUGACAUUUUAUCUUGCGCCCCACAAGAUGUUUUAGGUCCCCAGCAUAAGCAUCAGAAGCCUUUGAUUUCCGGCUGGAGACCUUUCCCUGCAUAAGAGAGUUAUUUUUUCUUAACCACCCACAUCUUCAGGGGUGGCUUAGAAGCAAUGAGUCUAAGUGCAGCAUCUGAGAACUUCGGCUUUGGAGCCCUAGCAAAUAGCCUUGCAGGAGGUGAAUAAUACUCAUAAGAAUAAGCAGAAAAGUUCUUGGUCUUAUGAACAUAGCGGUUUGACGAAACACGCUCAUAUUCAUAAGUCUGGGUAUGGUUUCCCUGCAAAACAUUGGCGUUAGGGUGACUCUGGUGAGUCCUCUGUCUGUAUGAAGCCUUUGGACCAUAUGAAGCCUUUGGUCUGGGGUUUGUCUUCUUCCCAGGUGGUGUCAUGAUGACAUUCACAGGAAGUUUCUCAAGACAACUUUUGGGCACCCAGAUCUUCUUGAAAGGUGGUCCAUUCCUGCAGUUAGUACCAAUAUACCUGGCAAACACUUCACCAUUCUGAUUCUUAAACAGUUUAUAGUUUGCAUCAAAGGAUUCAUCAAUGAUAAUCGGGUUAGCACAAGUGAAGCCAGAUAAGGUAGACGGAUCCACUGAAGGUCCCUUUGCAGCAACCCAUGUUGUUUUGGGGUACUACUCAGGCAUCCAGUAGGAACCAUCAACAUUCAUUUUCCUCUUGAACUCAACACCCUCUUUCCUAGGGUUUCGGUUCAGAAUCUAUUUCUUGAGGACAUCACAUAGUGUCUGAUGCCCUUUGAGACUUUUGUACAUCCCUGUUUCAAGCAAUGUCUUCAACUUGGCAUUCUCAUCAGCAAUAGUGGUGGUAUCCUCAGCAGGGGGGUUAGUUACCACAUCACCAGUUGAAGAUAUUGCAACAGUGGCAGCAGUAGAGCAUUCAGCAACAGAGACAGCAUUAUCACGCUCAAGACAUUUUAGGCAUGGUGGAUCAAAACCUUCCUGAGCGGAACUGAUCUGUUGAGCGCAGAGUGACUCGUUCUCUUUUUGAAGAUCUUCAUGAGACGCUCUCAGGUUCUCAAGUUCUUGCUUCCUUUGAAGAUAAUCAUAGGAAAGCUUCUCAUGAGUAGCUGAGAGAGUUUCAUGACAACUUUCAAGUUCCUCGUACUUAACAUGAAGAUUUUUUAUGUCUUCAAUUAAGGACUGAGUUCGGGCCAUUUCCACGUCCAACAGGUCAUCGCUUUUGUCUAGCAACUUUUGAAUAUGUUCCAUAGCAGUUUGUUGUUCAGUUGCAAUUUUAGCAAGUGUUUUGUAGCUAGGUUUAGAUUCACAUUGAGAGUCAUCUUCACUUGAUGUUUGAAAGUAAGCAUCGCGUGAGUUUACCUUGGCACCACGUGCCAUGAAGCAGUAGGUGGGAGCAGAGUCAUCCUCAUCAUUAGCAUCAUCGUUGGUGACGAGGCCAUUGUCUUCAGUGUUGAAGAUGGACUUGGCGACAUAGGCUGAAGCUAGAGCCAGGCUUGCCACGCCUGAAUCGGAUUCCUCCUCAAAUUCCACCUUCGCCUCCUUAGAAGCAGACUCCUCCUCUGAAUCCAUCUCCUUGCCAAAAAAAUCCACGGGCCUUGCUGGAUGAGCUCUUCUUGUGAGAUGAAGACUUGGAUGAAGACUUUGAAGAAGACUUUCAGGAUUUCUUCUUCUUGUCAUCAGAAUCAUAUUCCUUGCUCUUCUUCUUCUUCUUGGUCUCAUUGUCCCACUGUGGACACUCAGAGAUGUAGUGACCAGGUUUCUUGCAUUUGUGACAUGUUCUCUUCUUGUGGCCACGAGAGGAAGCUUCAUCAUUUCUUGAGCUAGUCUUGAAGACUUUCUGAAGUCUUUCUUCUUGGUGAACUUCUGGAACUUCUUCACAAGCAUAGCAAACUCCUUUCCAAUGUCUUCAGGAUCCCCAGAACUACAGUCAGAUUCUUCUUCAGAUGAGGAAACAACCUUUGCCUUCAAAGCACGAGUUCGGCCAUAGUUGGGGCCAUAGAUGUCUCUUUUCUCAGAUAACUGGAACUCAUGUGUGUUGAGCCUCUCGAGUAUGUCAGACGGAUCGAGAUAUUUGAAGUCAGGACAUUCUUGAAUCAUAAAGGCCAUGGUGUCGAAUGAGCUGUCAAGUGAUCUCAGAAGCUUCUUGACGAUUUCGUGCUUGGUGAUCUCAGUGGCGCCAAGUGCGCGAAGCUCAUUUGUGAUAUCAGUGAGGCGAUCAAACGUGAGCUGGACAUUCUCAUUGUCGUUUCUCUUGAAGAGGUUGAAGAGGUUGCGAAGAACAUCAAUCCUUGAGUCUCUCUGAGUUGAGACGCCUUCGUUGACCUUGUAGAGCCAGUCCCAGACUAGCUUCACAGUUUCCAGUGCACUCACACGGCCAUACUGUCCUUUGGUCAGAUGACCACAGAUGAUGUUCUUGGCGGUCGAGUCCAGUUGAAUGAACCUCUUGGCAUCAGCAGCGGUGACACCUUCACCAGCCUUGGGAACGCCGUUCUUGACGACAUACCAGAGGUCAACGUCAAUGGCUUCAAGAUGCAUACGCAUCUUAUUCUUCCAGUAGGGGUAAUCAGUGCCAUCGAAGACAAGGCACACAGCGGAGACCUUGAUUAUCCCUGCAGUCGACAUAGCUUAAACUCCAGGUGGUUAAACCGAAUCACACAGAACAAGGGAGCACCUUGCUCUGAUACCAAUUGAAAGUGCUAGUUAUCGACUAGAGGGGGUGAAUAGGCGAUUUUUAUGAAAGUCUUCAAAACACGGGGGCUUUGAAGACAAACAGUAGAAAUGAACCUAUUGAUAUGCAGCGGAAGGUAGACUACACUAGACAAGCCAUAGUCAAGUAAGCAAUGAAGUGAGAGCACGAAGACUAUCAGGAGCUAGGUAGUAUGGAUCAGGAUGGAAGAUAGUAUGAAGCCAAACAACAAACAGUCUUCACAUAGUGAAGACAAUCAGAUCAUGCAAGCAGGCAAUGACUUCACGAAGACAAACUGUAAGUAAAGGGAAGGGAAGGAUGGAACUAGUUGCUUGGUGAGGACAAGGAUUUGGUAGACCAGUUCCAGUUGCUGUGACAAUUGUACGUCUGGUUAGGGAGGCUGAGAUUUAACUUAGAAGACCGUGUCUUCACCUUAUUCCCCUUGAGCUAAGAACACUUAGUCCUCGCCCAAUCACUCUGGUAAGUCUUCAAGGUAGACUUUCGAACCUUCACAGACUUCGUUCACUGGCAAUCCACAAUGGCUCUUGGAUGCUCAGAAUGCGACGCCUAACCGGCUGGAGGAUUCACAGUCCUCAAGUGUAACAAGUCUUCAUAUCACGCGGACAGAAAGACUUCAGUGAUGCCUAACACUCUUUGGCUCUAGGUGUUUUGGGCUUUGUCCUCGCAAGGAUCUCUCUCUCAAAUGCUUCGGAGGUGGGUUGCUCUCAAACGACAAAAGCCGUGCACUAACUUGAGCAGCCACCAAUUUAUGGUGUAGGGGUGGGCUAUUUAUAGCCAGGAGGCAACCCGACCUGAUUUGUCCGAAAAUGACCCUGGGUCACUAAGGAACUGACACGUGUCCAAUGGUCAGAUUUCAAACACACGUGGGAGCUUGACUGGGCUACAAGUAAAGCUGACUCAUCCAGCUCUAGAUAAGAUUUGCUCUCAUUGUCUUCGCUCGAAGACAUAGGAUUUGGUUGAGCAUCACAUCAGUCACUCUGACUUUGUUCACUUGGACCCCACUUAACAGUACAAUGGUUCCUAUGACUCAACAAAGAAGAAAAGGAAACUAUGAAACAACUAUGUCUUCGUAUUCCAUAGUCUUCAUGUGAAUGUCUUCUCAUGUCAUAAUCUUCACUGUGAAUAUCUUCACAGACCACCAUUGUCUUCAAUGUCUUCACACAUUUUUAGGGGUCAUCUCUGGUAGGUAAACCGAAUCAAUAAGGGACUACUACCUGUGUUAUCCUGCAAUUCUCACAAACACAUUAGUCCCUCAACCAAGUUUAUCGUCAAUACUCCAAAACCAACUAGGUGUGGCACUAGAUGCACUUACACCAACUAGAUUGGUUUUACUUGCAAUGGGAGAGGUGCUUUGUGAUGGGUUCAAUCUUGCGGUGUCCUCACCCAGUGACAGAAAGGGUAGCGAGGCACGUAUUGUAUUGUUGCCAUUAAGAAUAAAAAGAUGGGUUUUAUAUCAUAUUGCUUGAGUUUAUCCCUCUACAUCAUGUCAUCUUGCUUCGUUGCUCUGUUCUUAUGAACUUAAUACACUAGAUGCAAGCAGCAGUCGGUCGAUGUGUGCAGUAAUAGUAGUAGAUGCAGAAUCGUUUCAGUCUACUUGUCAUGGACGUGAUGCCUAUAUUCAUGAUCAUUGCCUUAGAUAUCGUCAUAACUUUGCGCUUUUCUAUCAAUUGCUCAACAGUAAUUUGUUUACCCAACGUAUGCUUUCUUCGAGAGAGAAGCCUCUAGUGAAACCUAUGGCCCCCGGGUCUAUUCCUUAUCAUAUAUUUUCAGAUCUAUAAAACCAAAAACCCAAAAAUACCUUGCUACAAUUUAUUUGUGUUUACUUUAUUUUAACUUUUAUUUAUAUUUUAAAUCUAUCUCUAUUAGAUCCUCUUGCUAGUGACCGUGAAGGGAUUGAAAACCCCAUUUUCACGUUGUGUGCAAGUGUUUGUUAGUUUGUGCAGGUGCAUCUAUUGGGUACUUGCUUGUGCCUUCUACUGGAUCGAUACCUUGGUUCUUAACUGAGGGAAAUACUUAUCUCUACUUUGCUGCAUCACCCUUUCCUCUUCAAGGGAAGAAUCAACGCAAGCUCGAGAAGUAGCACUAAGUUGAAAGCCCAUUAUCCAGAAAGUCGAAUUAAGUCAAUUGGAAUGGACAAUGCCGCAGAAUUCUCCUCACGUGCUUUCAAAGAUUAUUGCAUGACUUUGGGGAUUGAAGGUUAUCACUUUGUUUCAUAUGUCCAUAUGCAAAAUGGUUUGGCUGAAUCAUUGCUUAAGAGGAUCAAACUCAUUGCAAGACCAUUGUUGAUGAAUUGCAACUUGCCAACCUCUUGUUGGGGUCACGCCGUUUUACACGCUGCUGACUUGAUACAAUUGAGGCCAACUGCAUAUCACAGUACUCACCCUCUACAAUUGGUACGUGGAAAUCCUCCUAGUAUUUCCCAUCUACGUAAGUUCAGAUGUGUUGUAUACAUCCCGAUCUCACCACCACAACGGACAUCUAUGGGCCCACACAGGAAACAGGGGAUCUAUGUGGGGUACAAAUCGCGGUCGAUUAUCAAGUACCUGGAACCCCUUACUGGGAUCUGUUCACAAUCUGUCAUGUUGAUUGCAUAUUUAAUGAGGGGCAUUUUUCGGCAUUAGGGGGAGAUUUCAAGUACCAGAAAGAAUGUCCGGAACUUGAUUGGAAUGCUCAAGUCAUUUCAUCCUGUGAUCCAUGUACCCAAGAGACCGAACUCCAAGUUUGGAAAAUCAUUAAUUUGCAACGUCUUGCAAAUAAUCUGCCAGAUUCAUUUACUGGUCUAACAGGUGUUACAAAAUCCUUAAAUCCGGCCAGAAAUGCGCCUGAAAGAGUGGAGGUACCAAUAAAAACCAUUCAACUCCCUAUUCCUAAAAAGAGGGGGAGUAGUACGACCUCUGACCUGGAGCAUGCUUCUAGCAAGCAGCAAAGAAAAUCGAGGAGAAAAACCUCGGAGUCAGUAAAUGCAAGUCAACUCAACAUUGACAAACACCUGAUGGGUAGUAUACACCCAGUGGAAGGGCAACCUCCACAACCCAGCUUCAGUUUGCACACACUGGCUGGGACAUCGGAACACCCGGACUCAUGCAUAUUGGGAAAUCACGAAGAGUCACUAGGGGUGCAGGAAAUUUCCGUCAACUAUGUUGAUUCUGGAGAAUCAUUUGACCGUAAGACUAAGAGUGUCGACAUAUACUUUGCUGAAAAGAUUGCAGAUACCCUUCCCACUGAUCAUGAUCCAAGUACUAUCGUUUAGUGCCAAAAGCGCUCCGUGGCCGCUGUUGGGGAACGUAGCAAAAAUUCAAAAUUUUCUACGCAUCACCAAGAUCAAUCUAUGGAGUAAUCUAGCAACGAGGGGAAGGGGAGUGCAUCUACAUACCAUUGUAGAUCGCGAUGCGGAAGUGUUGCAAGAACGCGGAUGAAGGAGUCGUACUCGUAGCGAUUCAGAUCGCGGUUGAUUCCGAUCUAAGCACCGAAGAACGGUGCCUCCGCGUUCAACACACGUGCAGCCCGGUGACGUCUCCCACGCCUUGAUCCAGCAAGGAGGGAGGGAGAGGUUGGGGAAGACUCCAUCCAGCAGUAGCACGACGGCGUGGUGGUGGUGGAGGAGCGUGGCAAUCCCGCAGGGCUUCGCCAAGCACCGCGGGAGAGGAGGAGGAGGAAGAGGGGUAGGGCUGCGCCGAAAGAGAGACGUUCUCAUGUCUGUAUGGCAGCCCCAAACCUCAAGUAUAUAUAGGGGAGGGGGAGGGCUGCGCCCCCAUCUAGGGUUCCCCCCCCCCAAGGGGUGCGGCCAGCCCUAGAUGGGGCUUGGGGGGCGGCCAAAGGAGGGGAGAGAGGGGGCGCCCCACUAGAUGGGCCUUAGGCCCAUCUGAGACUAGGGUUUCCCCCCUUCCCCCUUUCCUGCGCCCUGGACCUCUUGUGGGGGGGCGCACCAGCCCACCGGGGGCUGGUCCCCUCCCACACUUGGCCCAUGCAGCCCUCUGGGGCUGGUGGCCCCACUUGGUGGACCCCCGGGACCCUCCCGGUGGUCCCGGUACAUUACCGAUAUCACCCGAAACUUUUCCGGUGACCAAAACAGGACUUCCCAUAUAUAAAUCUUUACCUCCAGACCAUUCCGAAACUCCUCGUGAUGUCCGGGAUCUCAUCCGGGACUCCGAACAACAUUCGGUAACCACGUACAUACUUUCCCUAUAACCCUAGCGUCACCGAACCUUAAGUGUGUAGACCCUACGGGUUCGGGAACCAUGCAGACAUGACCGAGACGUUCUCCGGUCAAUAACCAACAGCGGGAUCUGGAUACCCAUGUUGGCUCCCACAUGUUCCACGAUGAUCUCAUCGGAUGAACCAUGAUGUCGGGGAUUCAAUCAAUCCCGUAUACAAUUCCCUUUGUCUAUCGGUAUGUUACUUGCCCGAGAUUCGAUCGUCGGUAUCCCGAUACCUUGUUCAAUCUCGUUACCGGCAAGUCUCUUUACUCGUUCCGUAACUCACAUCAUCCCGUGAUCAACUCCUUGGUCACACUGUGCACAUUAUGAUGAUGUCCUACCGAGUGGGCCCAGAGAUACCUCUCCGUUUACACGGAGUGACAAAUCCCAGUCUCGAUUCGUGCCAACCCAAUAGACACUUUCGGAGAUACCUGUAGUGCACCUUUAUAGCCACCCAGUUACGUUGUGACGUUUGGUACACCCAAAGCAUUCCUACGGUAUCCGGGAGUUGCACAUCUCAUGGUCUAAGGAACUGAUACUUGACAUUAGAAAAUCUCUGAGCAAACGAACUACACGAUCUUGUGCUAGGCUUAGGAUUGGGUCUUGUCCAUCACAUCAUUCUCCUAAUGAUCUGAUCCCGUUAUCAACGACAUCCAAUGUCCAUGGUCAGGAAACCGCAACCAUCUAUUGAUCAACGAGCUAGUCAACUAGAGGCUUACUAGGGACAUGGUGUUGUCUAUGUAUCCACACAUGUAUCUGAGUUUCCUAUCAAUACAAUUCUAGCAUGGAUAAUAAACGAUUAUCAUGAACAAGGAAAUAUAAUAAUAACCUAUUUAUUAUUGCCUCUAGGGCAUAUUUCCAACAGUCUCCCACUUGCACUAGAGUCAAUAAUCUAGUCCACAUCACCAUGUGAUUAACACUCAUAGGUCACAUCACCAUGUGACCAACAUCCAAAGAGUUUUCAAGUACCUAGUUCACAUCACUAUGUGAUUAACAAUCUAGUUCACAUCACUAUGUGAUUAACACUCAAUGAGUUCUGGUUUGAUCAUGUUAUGCUUGUGAGAGAGGUUAUUAGUCAACGGGUCUGAACCUUUCAGAUCCGUGUGUGCUUUACGAAUAUCUAUGUCAUCUUGUGGAUGCUACCACGCGCUAUUUGGAGCCAUUUCAAAUAAUUGCUCUACUAUACGAAACCGGUUUACUACUCAGAGUCAUCCGGAUUAGUGUCAAAGUUCGCAUCGACGUAACCCUUUACGACGAACUCCCUUUCACCUCCAUAAUCGAGAAAAUUCCUUAGUCCACUAGGUACUAAGGAUAAGUUCGACCGCUGUCAUGUGAUCCUUUCCCGGAUCACUAUUGUACCCUCUUGACCAACUCAUGGCAAGGCACACUACAUGUGCGGUACGCAGCAUAGCAUACUGUAGAGCCUACGUCUGAAGCAUAGGGGAUGACCUUCGUCCUUUCUCUCUCUUCUGCUGUGGUCAGGUCUUGAGUCUUACUCAAUACUCACACCUUGUAACACAGCCAAGAACUCCUUCUUUGCUGAUCUAUUUUGGACUCUUUCAAAAUCAUGUCAAGGUGUGCGUUCUUUGAAAGUAUCAUUAGGCGUCUUGAUCUAUCUCUAUAGAUCUUGAUGCCCAAUAUGUAAGUAGCUUUAUCCAGGUCUUCCUUUGAAAAACUCCUUUCAAACAAUCCUUUAUGCUUUCCAGAAAUUCUACAUCAUUUCGGAUCAACAAUAUGUCAUUCACAUAUACUUAUCAGAAAUGUUGUAGCUCUCCCACUCACUUUAUUGUAAAUACAAGUUUCUAACAAACUUUGUAUAAACCCAAAAACUUUGAUCACUCCAUCAAAGCGUAUAUUCUGACUCCGAGAUGCUUGCUCUAGUCCAUGGAAGGAUCGCUGGAGCUAGCAUACCUUUUAGCAUCCUUAGGAUCGACAAAACCUUUCUGAUUGUAUCACAUACAACCUUUCCUUACGCAAACUGGUAAGGAAACUUGUUUUGACAUCCAUCUGCCAGAUUUCAUAAAUGCAGCUAAUUCUAACAUGAUUCCGACGGACUUAAGCAUCGCUACGGAUGAGAAAAUCUCAUCGUAGUCAACUCCUUGAACUUAUGGAAAUACUCUUUGCCACAAGUCAAGCUUCAUAGACGGUAACCUUACCGUCCACGUUCGUCUUCUUCUUAAAGAUCCAUUUAUCUCGGAUUUCAUGGCUUCUAACCAUUUGUCAGAAUAUGGGCCCACCAUCGCUUCUCCAUAGCUCAUAGGUUCAUCGUUGUCCAACAACAUGACUUCCAAGACAGGAUCACGUACUACUCUGAAGUAUUACGCAUCCUCGUCGUCCUACGAGGUUUGGUAGUGACUUGAUCCGAAGUUUCAUGAUCACUAUCAUAAGCUUCCACUUCAAUUGGUGUAGGUGCCACAGGAACAACUUCCUGUGCCCUGCUACACACUAGUUGAAGUGACGGUUCAAUAACCUUAUCAAGUCUCCACCAUCCUCCCACUCAAUUCUUUCGAGAGAAACUUUUCCUCGAGAAAGGACGUUUCUAGAAGCAAUUACUUUUGCUUCCAGAUCUGAAAUAGGAGGUACACCCAACUGUUUUGGGUAUUCUAUGAAGAUGUAUUUAUCCGCUUUGGGUUCGAGCUUAUCAGCCUGAAACUUUUUCACAUAAGCGUCGCAGCCCCAAACUUUUAAGAAACGACAACUUAGGUUUCUCUAAACGGUGUCGUCUCAACGGAAUUGCGUGGUGCCCCUUUUAAAGUGAAUGCGGUUGUCUCUAAUGCCUAACCCAUAAACGAUAGUGGUAAUUUGAUAAGAAACAUCAUGGUAUGCACUAUAUCCAAUAGGGUGCAGUUAUGAUGUUCGGACACACCAUCACACUAUGGUGUUCCAGGCGGUAUUAAUUGUGAAACACUUUCCACAAUGUCUUAAUUGUGUGCCAAACUCGUAACUCAGAUACUCAUCUCUAUGAUCAUAUCACAGACAUUUUAUCCUCUUGUCACGACGAUCUUCAACUUCACUCUGAAAUUACUUGAACCUUUCAAUAAUUCAGACUUGUGUUUUAUCAAGUAAAUACACUCAGCAUCUACUCAAAUCAUCUGUGAAGUAAGAACAUAACGAUAUCCACUGCAUGCCUCAGCAUUCAUUGGACUGCAUACAUCAAAAUGUAUUACUUCCAAUAAAUUGCUCUCUUGUUCCAUCUUACUGAAAACGAGGCCUUUCAGUCAUCUUGCCCAUGUGGUAUGAUUUGCAUGUCUCAAGUGAUUCAAAAUCAAGUGAGUACAAACGAUCCAUCUGCAUGGAGUUUCUUCAUGCAUAUAUACCAAUAGACAUGGUUCGCAUGUCUCAAUCUUUUCAAAAACGAGUGAGUCCAAAGAUCCAUCUACAUGGAGCUUCUUCAUGCGUUCUAUACCAAUAUGACUCAAAUGGCAGUGCCACAAGUGUGUGGAACUAUCAUUACUAUUUUAUAUCUUUUGGCACGAACAUGUGUAUCACUACGAUCGAGAUUCAUUUUAGGUGCAAGACCAUUGAAGGUAUUAUUCAAAUAAACAGAGUAACCAUUAUUCUCCUUAAAUGAAUAACCGUAUUGCGAUAAACAUAAUCCAAUCAUGCUCAACGCAAACACCAAAUCUCGAUGGUAGAGGGAGCACGCGAUGCUUGAUCACAUCAACCUUGGAAACACUUCCAACACAUAUCGUCAUCUCACCUUUAGCUAGUCUCCGUUUAUUCCGCAGCUUUUAUUUCGAGUUACUAACACUUAGCAACCGAACCGGUAUCUAAUACCCUGGUGCUGCUAGGAGUACUAGUAAAGUACACAUUCAUAUAAUGUAUAUCUAGUAUACUUCUGUCGACCUUGCCUGCCUUCUCAUCUACCAAAUAUCUAGGGUAGUACUGCUUCAGUGACCGUUCCUCUCAUUACAGAAGCACUUAGUCUCGGGUUUGGGUUCAACCUUGGGAUUCUUCACUAGAGCCGCAAACGACUUGCUGUUUCAUGAAGUAUCCCCUUUUGCCCUUGCCCUUCUUAAACUAGUGGUUUUACUAACCAUCAACAAUUGAUGCUCCUUCUUGAUUUCUACUCUCGCGGUGUCAAACAUCGCGAAUAGCUCAAGGAUCAUCAUAACUAUCCCUGAUAUGUUAUAGUUCAUCACGAAGCUCUACUAGCUUGGUGGCAGUGACUAUGGAGAACUAUCACUAUCUCAUCUGGAAGGUUAACUCCCACUUGAUUCAAGCGAUUUGUGGCACUCAGACAAUCUGAGCACAUGCUUAACGAUUGAGCUUUUCUCCCUUAGUCUGCAGGCUUAAGAAACUUGUCAGAGGUCUCAUACCUCUUGACGUGGGCACUAGUCUGAAAUCUCAAUUUCAGUCUUCGGAACAUCUCAUAUGUUCUGCGACGUUUCAAAAACCGUCUUUGGUGCCACAAUUCUAAACCGUUAGCAUUACGCACUGAACUAUCACGUAGUCAUCAAAACGUGUAUGUCAGAUGUUUCGCAACAUCUACAGACGAUGCUGAGGUUCAGCACACCGAGCGGUGCAUUAAGGACAUAAGCCUUCUGUGCAGCAAUGAGGACAAUCCUCAGUUUACGGACCCAGUCCGCAUAAUUGCUACUACCAACUUUCAACUAAAUUUUCUCUAGGAACAUAUCUUAAACAGUAGAACUAAAGCGCAAGAUAUGACAUAAUAUGCAAAGACUUUUUGACUAUGUUCAUGAUAAUGAAGUUCAUCUGAUUAUUGAACUCCCACUCAGAUAGACAUCCCUCUAGUCAUCUAAGUGAUACAUGAUCCGAGUCAAACUAGGCCGUGUCCGAUCAUCACGUGAGACGGACUAGUCAUCAUCGGUGAACAUCUCCAUGUUGAUCGUAUCUUCUAUACGACUCAUGCUCGACCUUUCGGUCUCUUGUGUUCCGAGGCCAUGUCUGUACAUGCUAGGCUCGUCAAGUCAACCUAAGUGUUUUGCAUGUGUUCCGAGGCCAUGUCUGUACAUGCUAGGCUCGUCAACACCCGUUGUAUUCGAACGUUAGAAUCUAUCACACCCGAUCAUCACGUGGUGCUUCGAAACAACGAACCUUCGCAACGGUGCACAGUUAGGGGGAACACUUUCUUGAAAUUAUUAUAAGGGAUCAUCUUACUUACUACCGUCGUUCUAAGCAAAUAAGAUGCAUAACAUGAUAAACAUCACAUGCAAUCAAAUAGUGACAUGAUAUGGCCAAUAUCAUUUUGCUCCUUUGAUCUCCAUCUUCGGGGCACCACGAUCAUCUUUGUCACCGGCAUGACACCAUGAUCUCCAUCAUCAUGAUCUCCAUCAUUGUGUCUUCAUGAAGUUGUCACGCCAACGAUUACUUCUACUUCUAUGGCUAACGCGCUUAGCAAUAAAGUAAAGUAAUUUACAUGGCGUUAUUCAAUGACACGCAGGUCAUACAAAAAAUAAAGACAACUCCUAUGGCUCCUGCCGGUUGUCAUACUCAUCGACAUGCAAGUCGUGAUUCCUAUUACAAGAAUAUGAUCAAUCUCAUACAUCACAUAUAUCAUUCAUCACAUCUUCUGGCCAUAUCACAUCACAUAACACAUGCUGCAAAAAUAAGUUAGACGUCCUCUAAUUGUUGUUGCAAGUUUUUACGUGGCUUGUAUAGGUUUCUAGCAAGAACGUUUCUUACCUACGUAAAACCACAACGUGAUAUGCCAAUUUCUAUUUACCCUUCAUAAGGACCCUUUUCAUCGAAUCCGUUCCGACUAAAGUGGGAGAGACAGACACCCGCUAGCCACCUUAUGCAACUAGUGCAUGUCAGUCGGUGGAACCUGUCUCACGUAAGCGUACGUGUAAGGUCGGUCCGGGCCGCUUCAUUCCACAAUGCCACCGAAACAAGAUAAGACUAGUAGCGGCAAGAAGAAUUCGCAACAUCUACGCCCACAACUACUUUGUGUUCUACUCGUGCAUAGAAACUACGCAUAGACCUAGCUCAUGAUGCCGCUGUUGGGGAACGUAGCAGAAAUUCAAAAUUUUCUACGCAUCACCAAGAUCAAUCUAUGGAGUAAUCUAGCAACGAGGGGAAGGGGAGUGCAUCUACAUACCAUUGUAGAUCGCGAUGCGGAAGCGUUGCAAGAACGCGGAUGAAGGAGUCGUACUCGUAGCGAUUCAGAUCGCGGUUGAUUCCGAUCUAAGCACCGAAGAACGGUGCCUCCGCGUUCAACACACGUGCAGCCCGGUGACGUCUCCCACGCCUUGAUCCAGCAAGGAGAGAGAGAGAGGUUGGGGAAGACUCCAUCCAGCAGCAGCACGACGGCGUGGUGGUGGUGGAGGAGCGUGGCAAUCCCGCAGGGCUUCGCCAAGCACCGCGGGAGAGGAGGAGGAGGAAGAGGGGUAGGGCUGCGCCGAAAGAGAGACGUUCUCAUGUCUGUAUGGCAGCCCCAAACCUCAAGUAUAUAUAGGGGAGGGGGAGGGCUGCGCCCCCAUCUAGGGUCCCCCCCCCAAGGGGUGCGGCCAGCCCUAGAUGGGGCUUGGGGGGCGGCCAAAGGAGGGGAGAGAGGGGGCGCCCCACUAGAUGGGCCUUAGGCCCAUCUGAGACUAGGGUUUCCCCCCUUCCCCCUUUCCUGCGCCCUGGACCUCUUGUGGGGGGCGCACCAGCCCACCUGGGGCUGGUCCCCUCCCACACUUGGCCCAUGCAGCCCUCUGGGGCUGGUGGCCCCACUUGGUGGACCCCCGGGACCCUCCCGGUGGUCCCGGUACAUUACCGAUAUCACCCGAAACUUUUCCGGUGACCAAAACAGGACUUCCCAUAUAUAAAUCUUUACCUCCGGACCAUUCCGGAACUCCUCGUGACGUCCGGGAUCUCAUCCGGGACUCCGAACAACAUUCGGUAACCACGUACAUACUUUCCCUAUAACCCUAGCGUCACCGAACCUUAAGUGUGUAGACCCUACGGGUUCGGGAACCAUGCAGACAUGACCGAGACGUUCUCCGGUCAAUAACCAACAGCGGGAUCUGGAUACCCAUGUUGGCUCCCACAUGUUCCACGAUGAUCUCAUCGGAUGAACCACGAUGUCGGGGAUUCAAUCAAUCCCGUAUACAAUUCCCUUUGUCUAUCGGUAUGUUACUUGCCCGAGAUUCGAUCGUCGGUAUCCCGAUACCUUGUUCAAUCUCGUUACCGGCAAGUCUCUUUACUCGUUCCGUAACUCACAUCAUCCCGUGAUCAACUCCUUGGUCACACUGUGCACAUUAUGAUGAUGUCCUACCGAGUGGGCCCAGAGAUACCUCUCCGUUUACACGGAGUGACAAAUCCCAGUCUCGAUUCGUGCCAACCCAACAGACACUUUCGGAGAUACCUGUAGUGCACCUUUAUAGCCACCUAGUUAUGUUGUGACGUUUGGUACACCCAAAGCAUUCCUACGGUAUCCGGGAGUUGCACAAUCUCAUGGUCUAAGGAACUGAUACUUGACAUUAGAAAAGCUCUGAGCAAACGAACUACACGAUCUUGUGCUAGGCUUAGGAUUGGGUCUUGUCCAUCACAUCAUUCUCCUAAUGAUCUGAUCCCGUUAUCAACGACAUCCAAUGUCCAUGGUCAGGAAACCGCAACCAUCUAUUGAUCAACGAGCUAGUCAACUAGAGGCUUACUAGGGACAUGGUGUUGUCUAUGUAUCCACACAUGUAUCUGAGUUUCCUAUCAAUACAAUUCUAGCAUGGAUAAUAAACGAUUAUCAUGAACAAGGAAAUAUAAUAAUAACCUAUUUAUUAUUGCCUCUAGGGCAUAUUUCCAACAGCCGCGACGAGGGAGGCGUCGUCGUCCUCGAGGACAGCGACGACGAGGCACCGUCGCCGGCCAAACCAGUCCGCCAGGGCGAGCCCGGGCAGGGGUCCAGCAGGGACGGCCGUGUGGAGAAGGAGAAGGAGGACGACGGCGACUACACCGCCUUCAGCAAGUUCUUCGACAUGUAGGCGGCGCGGCAGCAGGCCUUUGUUUUUUAGUAGAUUUUAUGUUUUCUAUAUGUAAAAAACUGUGGAACACCUAAAUAUCGCCGAAUCUAUGUCGUGUUUGCCGAAUUUUGCCCGAAUGUCUUUUUAAAAUUAUUUACCAAAAGGGCGUCUGGGGGCGACCUGGGGGCGGCGGCUGGGAAUCCGAUCACCCCCACACCGAAAAUAUCGCCGGUUCGCCCCCAAGCGGCGAUUUUUUCUAGCCCCUGGGGGGCGAACAGCUGGAGAUGCUCUUAAAUCAUGCGAAAAUCUUGCUGAUUUGUUUAUCAAGUCUCUACCAAAUUCUACAUUACAAAAAUAUGUUCAUGGAAUUGGUAUGCGACGACUUCGAGACUUGCAAGUAUUAGGGGGAGUCUCUUCUUGAGAUAUCCUUGUUCAAACAUCACAUUACGUUGUUUCUCUUUGUGAGUUUGUGUUUCAGGUGCUCAUCAAAGAUUUUUAUGAAGAACUUUUGGACAAGAAUCUUUUUGAGAUAAUAGAGCUAUCUGGACAAUCGUGAGAUGAUUCUACAUGGUCAAGCGUAGAUUAGGGGGAGGGGUGUUAAGAUUAAUUGUAAUUAGGGAAAAUCUCCCCUUGCCCAACUGUCGUUGCGCUUUCUCCCGCAACGAACGCCUCCCCCUCUUGUAUCCCUGGAACCGACGUCCCCUCGAUGGAUCAUCGCGUCUCUCCCUGAUGGCUUUCUCUCACAAUAAUCAUGCAAAAAAACAUUACAUCAUUUACAACAUGAUGUAAAGUUACGGUCGUCAACCGAUGGAGAAGAGCUACAACUUUGCAUUAGUGUGUGAUUCGGCUUUGAAAUAUGACGAUUUGACUUUGAAACAUGGCAAUUCGGCUUUGCAUGAAUGACAUCUAGCCUUAUAGUGUCCUUGCAGUGUCCCAUCUCAACUUAUAGUGGAGGCGCCCAACAUUGCAACAACUACCUGACUUGCAACAACGCCACCUAGCCUUUGUAGCGGCACGGGUCCUUGCUUGCAACAUCAGUGGCACCUCGAGCUUGCAAUGGCUCCAACCAGACUUCACAACGAUGCGGUACCCGUCUGUGGCGGCGGUAGCCGGUAUUGAAGCACCGGCCAGCUUUGUAGUGGCGUGCUCCCCUACACGCAACACGUGCAAAAAAAUGUUUCUAGCAUGGUGAAACAUUUCCACAUACACUUCACGGGUAUGUGAUCGUAUUUUGGAAAGGAAACAUUUUUUGUCAAUCACAUUCAACAUGAAAAUUAUGUGUAUACAACAAAUUCUCUAGUGGCAAUAAAAUGUUCACAACGCAUGUAACAUGAAAAAUUAACACAAGCAACAUAAAACAAUUAAUAUGGAACAUGUAUGCAUUCCCGAAAAAACUUCACAACACAUGUCAUGCUUACACAAUAAACAAGAAAACAUGCUCUGCCCAUGUGUGUUCGACUUGUAGCGGCAAAGGAAACCGCCCUUACAAGGUCACAUGCCAUGUUUGCAGCGUGACAGGCUGCCUUUGGAACACAAAAGAACAGCGCGACAUGCUCGCAACAUCGACACACUUCAUCAGCAACAUCGGCACAAUUUGGGUGGUGAUAUGGUAGGAUGGUCAACAAGUCAAGUACUCCCUCCGUUCCAAAAUAGACGACUCAACUUUGUACUAAUUUUAGUACAAAGUUAGUAUAAAGUUAGGUCAUCUAUUUUGGAACGGAGGGAGUAGAUGCCAGUUACAACCAACAAAAACAAAUACAAUCUCCACCAACAAGUCAAGUAGAUGCCAAUAAUCAAGACAUCUACAACUUAUUAAUUUAAAGUUUUAAAUGUACAAUGCAAAAAAACCAUACAAACAAAACUGUAUCAUUCUCCCUUACUGAUGAAAGAACUAUAUACGAAGCAAAAUGAGUGAAUCUACAUUUUAAAAUUUGUCUAUAUCCGUAUAUAGUUUAUAGUGGAAUAAGACUUACAUUUAAGAACGGAGGGAGUACUAAUUAAGAGGACUCAGAAUAUGGGUGGUGAUAUAGCAGGAUGGUCGGCAAGGCAAAUAAAUGCCAGUUACGACGAACAAGACCAAAUAUCCAUCUUCACCGUCCUCUACAAUAAAUUCAGACAUGAGGUUGCAAAACAUAACAAGCAAAAUAACACACAAAUUGUUUGAUUCUCCCGAGAAAGGGAAGGUUGUACGGUCGUCAGAUAGGAGCAAGAUCAUUGGCCUCAUAGAGAAGAUUAGAUCGUUCCACAUGAAGAAAAUUCAGACAUAUCCUUGUCUAUAAUUUNNNNNNNNNNNNNNNNNNNNNNNNNNNNNNNNNNNNNNNNNNNNNNNNNNNNNNNNNNNNNNNNNNNNNNNNNNNNNNNNNNNNNNNNNNNNNNNNNNNNNNNNNNNNNNNNNNNNNNNNNNNNNNNNNNNNNNNNNNNNNNNNNNNNNNNNNNNNNNNNNNNNNNNNNNNNNNNNNNNNNNNNNNNNNNNNNNNNNNNNNNNNNNNNNNNNNNNNNNNNNNNNNNNNNNNNNNNNNNNNNNNNNNNNNNNNNNNNNNNNNNNNNNNNNNNNACUCGGAAUAUGGGUGGUGAUAUAACAGAUGGUCGGCAGGCAAGAAGAUGCCAGUUACGACGAACGAGACAAAAUAUCAAUAGUCGCCAUACUAAACCCCGAUGCAAAAUCCCCCAAGAACAACCAAAAAGACAGGUUGACAACAAGCACACAGAAUUGCAGCUUGCUCCAGACACAAAAUCCUGCAGUUUCUAGUGAAAGCAAGCAUGCUUUAUACGCUGGAAUGAGGCAGUCUCAGCUACAAGCUUGCAGAAUCUCACGACAAAAAUGGUGAUAAGAGAUGUAGGAAGGUUGGUAAGCGGGUUGCCCAUUAACAUGGGCAGGCCGACCAGAUUUCCUUCCUUGGUAGUUUGACACAGCCGAAUCUGGCAAAGCAAGACGAUGGUACAAAGAACCCAGGCCUUGGUACAAUGCAGCCCUGAUGCUCAUGCUUUAAUAGAUGAACAAAUGGUUCUGAAAUGCAAUGGUGAGCAGUCAGACAAUGCUUUCUAGGCAAAUGCAUCUCCAUCAGAACACAGCAAUGUUUGCUGCUCGGAGCCCAGUGCAUAUCUUCUUCCAUACCACACAACCAAGCUAUAACUCAAAAAAGAAAGGGAAGAGUUGCGAUGGAAUCUGUAGCCCUCAAUUUUUUUUGGAUCGUGCGCUGUCCAAAAAAUUAUUAACAUAUUUUAAAGAAUGCAAGACGGUUCAACUAGUAGACACUAAAAAGCUGUUCAAUUUGGCUUCAGAAUUGCAGAAAGACAGCAUGGACACAUAGCAACCGAUCAGUCCCAAAAGAUGGUAUGAUUAAUAGGUUUUUCAUCACUGGCCAAGCAUGAACAAAUAUGCCUCUAAAAUUUCAGCAUACAUCAAAUCUGAACUAACACAACACGCUAGUCCUGCACGCAGAGCUCAAAAGAUGCAAAUCUGAAGGCAUUGAAUAAGCUUCCAGGCAUCAUAUAGUUUCCUAAAUUUUCAUCAAAAGAAAAGCGUGAUACCAAAGGCAUAAAAACAACAAUGAGAUGCAUUUGAAAUGAGAGGAAAAUGAUUGUUGGCGAAAGAGAUUAUCAAGCUCAACCCAACUGCCCAUUUUCCUCAAAUUAAUAUAGCAGGAAACACUUUCAGUAAGAAAUGCACAUCAAAAGGCAUUUAACCGAUACACACUUAUCCUGCAAAGGCAACAAGCGAGAAAAAAGUGAAACCACUUUGUAUGCAAAGCAGAUGGAUUCAGAAGCACUCAUCCCAUAUGAAGGAUAAUGAGAGGAAAAUGAUUGUUGGCAAAAGAGAUUAUCAAGCUCAACACAGCAAAAGGCAUUUAACUGAUACACACUUAGCCGACAAAGGCAACAAGGGAGAAAAAAGUGAAACAAAUUCGUAUGCAAUGCAGAUAGAUUCAGAAGCAUUCAUCCCAUAUGAAGAACAGAAAAAGGCAAGCAUAUUCUUAUGCUGUCAUGGAAACAUACAACAAUGGCGCAAAAAUACACAGAAGUGUCAGAUUAGAUGAGAGGAAAGUGAUUGUUGAAGAAAGCAUAUAAAGGCCUAAACAAGCUGUUCACUUUCCCCCCAUUGGUAUAGGAUGGAAAACUAUCAGCAGUACAUAAAAAGUGUUCCUGGAAAUUGCAGCAAGCUUAGCCAUUGCCACAGAGCAUGGAAAUUGCAAGACAACUCGGGGUAAUCUGAAGUUACUAUGUGCCACAAGGUUUUCAUGAUGCAUUUGGUGGCAAGGCAUAAAAAACAGAUGUGCAUACACAAUGGCUAAAACAUACACAGCAGAUCAACCACAUAGAACCAAUAUUCAACUACCAGCAUAGUCAUUAAUCCAAAACAGUAGGUGCUAAGCUUAGCACAUCUAAGAACGAAAUUUAAGAGUAACAAGUUUUCUCAUGGACCAAAAUAAGACCACUGUAUCAAGACAAGGCAGUUCAACUCUUUAAUCCACAAAAACAGAUCAUAAAACAGAAAAGAAACAUUAUCUAGAUAAAGCAAGAUGGCCCAUUAUACCCUUCAAGCAGCAGCAGCGUCUGCACUCUUCUCACCGUCACCACCCUGAGUAGUUGCUUUAUUAGCCUCUGCCUCGGCAGCAGCAUCCAUCUCCUGUGCAGUAGCAUCAACAUCAUCUGUAGCCGGACGAAUCUGCUCCUCCUCUGGAAGUGGCUCUUCAACAUAAUCGUUCUCAAAUGCAUCAUUAGGAACCUGAUAGAUCCUCAUCUGUGGCUUUGCAGGAUCUUUCACAAGCACAUACUUGCCCUCUUCAAACUUCAUGCAUAUGUCCACAAUCGACUUGACAAUUCCCCACAUGUUUGCAGUGUUGAGGUUGAUCUGGGUAGCAAAAUCCCUUGGCUUGUAGCCCAUCACAGUGAGUAUGGAGUGGUUGAAGUGGUCGCGGGGGUGCACACGUGACACAUAACCCAACUUCAUCAUGUCUGCGCCAGAAAGUAAAGCCUGGGCAGUCCAGCGAGCGAGCUUGUUGGCAUUGUUCUUGAGCUCUGUAGCAAGCACAGCUCCGCGCUGGGACUCGAGCUUCUGCUUCCAGUCAACACCAGUAAUCUUAGGAUCAAACUCAUUGAGUGCAUUAAGAGUGAGGAACUGGCGAGCACCACUCGGAUCAACACCGGCAGCAUGCACUUCACAGCGAGCAAUGAUGCUAAUAUCAUCGUCCAGCUUCCAGCGGCGAUAACGGUAGCAAACAGGCGCCGCCUCCUCAUUCUCAGAAGCAAACGGGUUAGGCUCAUCAAAGGUAACCUUCUCGCCAUCACGUACCAGCACCUGCUGCGAGAAGUUCUGGUUGAUGUAGGUGGCCUCGACAGCAAGAGCCGGCGCGGAAUUGAUGUCAUCCUUGUUCUCAGGGAGCUGCUCCUGCGCAGUCUCGUUGACAGUGAGCAGAUCGAGCUGGGAGCCCUCGCGCUUGUCGAAGAAGAGCUUGUUGCCGACGCGCUGCACGACAAUGUCCCAGGAGAGGAUGCUGCGGGGUGUGCACAUGAGGGCGGCGAGGAUGGCGUCGGUGGCGAAGACGGUGGCCUUGUCCUCCUCGGCGAGGCGGCGGAUGAUGGGGUCGUCGGUGGUGGUGAUCUUGAAGAACUGGCGGUUCUUGAAGCGCUCGAGGCGGCGGGCCGUCUUGGGGUUGACGCGGUCGUAGGCGCGGUCGUACGAGUCGACGGCGCCGCAGACGAGGAGGUCCUCGGGCUGGUCGUUGACGGCGAAGGAGAGCUUGGUGAAGUUGGCGAAGGGGAUCUGCUCGAGGAUGGUCCAGUCGGGCUGGAUGUCGACCGAGGGCUUGGCGGUGUUCUGCUGGUUGCCGCGGAAGCCCUGGUGGUGGUGGGAGCGGUGGUUCUGGUAGUGGCGCUCGCGGCGGGCGCGCUCCUUCUCGGCCUCGCGGCGCUUGGCCUCGACCUCCUCGUCGCGGCGCUGGGGGAGCUGGGGCCGCUGGUUGAAGCGCCACUUGGGCCCGAAGCGCGGGUGCUUGGGCGGCGGCUUGGCGUCCACGAGGCUGAAGGACGAGUCCUCGGCGGCGGCGGCGAGCGAGUCGUCGGCCGAGGAGAAGUCGAAGACCGAGUCGCGGGAGGCGGCGGCCGCGUGGUGGCCGUGCGCGCCCGGGUGGCCCGGGUUGCGCGUCCAGUCGGCGAUGCGGCCCAGCUUGUCGGAGCGGGAGAAGGGCGCGAAGGGGAUGGAGGCCGUCGCGACGGCCCCGCCCAGCAGCGGCGCCGCGCCCGGGGCGUCGGGAGGGCCCCAGCCGUCCGGGUUGAAGGGGACGACGCCCACGUCGAAGCCCAUGGUCGCGGCGGCGGCGGCGGUGCGGGUGGAUCCGGAGGCGGAGGGAGGCGGCGGCGGUGUGGGUUAGGGUUGGGUGGGACGCGAUGGAGGAGGACGGGACGACGAGGCUUUAGGGUUUGGGUAAGCGAAUAUUUAUUUUCUGAGUGGCCUCUACCGGGCCUAUGGCCCACAUAUCAGCGUGUACUCCGUGGACUCGCAUGUCGGCGUCCGAUCCCGGCCCGUUAAACAAGUGGAAUAUUUCUCCACAUGAAAAAAAGAAUCUGAUAUCUCUUGACUCAAUAUUUUUUAUCAGAUCUCUGUUUUUUCUAAAGAAUCUAUCAGAUCUCUGUUUUCUUAUAUACAUAAAAAUGAAAUCAUAUCUCUCAACUUUUGGCUAUGUUUUUUUCAAAAACAAAAACAGAUUUUAGGUGAUUGGCAGUGCUUGGAUUUACUAUAAGUCCGGAAGAAACGUUCUCCAGUUAUCUUGUUAUAGUUCGGACCAUGUUUUGAAAUCAUGUCAUGAACACGUUUGGAAUUCGGAAAUUUCGAGCGAAACCGUUAUGUGGUACCAAGACACCAUAGACCAACACACCAAACAGGAUUACAGGACUCCUUCACAAAACCGCACUGUUCAAACAGAAAACCUUACAGUGCGUGAGGAAACAUCCCAGGUUUCAGACAGCAGGCAGCCGGUUCAGCACGGUACCGUCAGCACUGCAGGACGGAGAAACUAGCACAGUACCAGCAUAAAUUUCAGGCUCUCACGCUUUUAUUCUGUCCGAGUCCGACUCGGACGACACUCGGUGCGACAUCAUCAUAAUGUUCCCGAUCCCAUACCGAACUGUUACAGGCAUCAACAGCCAUGGAAUGGCAUAGCGCGGUGGAUAACAGCAUGUCUGCGACACUUCAGUUCAAAAUUCAGCAGGCGUUACACGACGUCCGGAAUACUUAUUACUAGAGCAACGAGACGGCAUGGGCGCAGCAAAUGGCAGAGUUCCGUUCAAAAAAGGCAUGGGAGCUACUCGGUGGAUUCCUUGUUCUCGGCGGCCUUGGCCUCCUCGGUGGACUCCUGGCUCAGGGUGGACUCCUGGUUCGGGGUCGUAGCCUCCGUAGGCGAGUUGGCACCCUCUGCAAUGGCAAAGAUGGCAAAGCGAUGCUUGUGACGAUGGCAAGAUAAAUGUACUGGAUUGCCUGCAUGGUAUCUUGUAAAUAUGAAGUACCGUCGCUGUCAGUAGAUGCAUGAAGGAACCGUCGUGAACGGGCUUGCUGCUGGGUAGGCUGCAGGAAGAUCGAGGAAGAUGUAAGCGACCAAAUAAAUUCAGUGUAGCAUGCAAGUUAAUUUCAUAAUUAUUACCGCAUUUGACAGCAAAAGGAUAUCAGCUCCGCAAGCAAAGGCUUGCUAACGAGAAUGAGGUGGCAAAACGUGUAAUUGACACUGAAUCCAGUUUAAAUACUGGGCCAGAAAACUGGAUAUGUGAUCUAUUGGAUUGCUAGAAAGAACCCCAAAUACGCAAAUGGGACAGCUAGCAGCUGGUGCCAAACGGAGAAAGUAUCAACAGUAGUGGUGUAGUACGUUUGAUAGCAAAAUCAGCUCCACAAGCAAAGAAUUACUAACAGAACUAGGGGGCAGGUACCUUGAACUGAGUUCAUUUUGAAUAGUAGGCCAAAAAAUGGAUAUGUAAUAUAUUGGGUUAAUAGAAAGACCAGCAAAUAUGCUAAUGAAAGAGCUAGCGGAUAAUGUGAAACGGAUACAGUAUCAACAGUGGUGUAAUACAAGGUAAGCACAUUCUUGCAAACAAUGAGUGCCAGUUUUAGCACCUGUAAUUUCGGCCGAAGUGCUUCAAGGGGCCCUUUAGGCUUUUGAGGAUGUCCUCCUUGCUGCAGGAAACCAAACGAUCAGGUGAGCAAGAUCGCGUAGGAGUUGCAUUGCUUCCUCAAAAUCCAUAUAGCUUUCGAAAAGAACGGUAGAAUACCUUUCCCAGAGCCCAAUCAGCAGAAUCAAAGUAAGCUCGCUCAUGGUCCUGAUAGACAUUUGAACACAGUUGAAACUAAUGGAUAUGGAGCUAAAAUUGAUCUUACUUCCCUGACUGCUUUAUACAUAGAUGACAUAAACUGUAUAUAUACAUCUAAUAGGUAGUAAUAUAUUUAAGGCAAUGAUACCUUGGAUAUGAGUGGUGACUUUUUGGGCAGUACUCCUCCAUACUUUUUCUUGAUUACUGCUUCCUGCAAAUACUCGGUAAAGUCGGAUUGUGCUUAUGGAAUAUAUUUUUGACACUUUUACAGUAGAAAGUAAAUUAGUAAAAUCGUACAGAUGGAAACAUGCAAGCACACAAGGUUAAUCAUUACACUUGUUAACAAAAGAUAAUACCUCUUGCUGUGCUGAUGGCAUCUCAUUUCCUUUAUCCUGGUUGGCAGUUUCCACUUUCACAUCAGAAACAUCUCCUUCAGGCCUCACCUGGCCAGUAGUAUCAUCAGAUGGCUUCUCCGACAUACUGUACGAACGGAUGCUCAAACAAGCUACAAGAAGAUGGAUUUCAUAUCAGAUAAUUUAUCUCAAUGCCAUCAAAAUUAGUAGGCAUAAAACACGCCAGGGCAUAGAAAAAUUGGAAAGAAAUCUGAAACAUAGUCUUGGAAAUAUAUUGACAUUUAAACCAUAGUGCAGCAGUACAAAGAACAUGUUUACAUAAAUAAGUACUGAGAAGUCAAUGCAAUAAGACACACAAAAUUUACUUUGGUAAAAAUGGAGAUAAAUAAAACUGUGUAACCCAUCCUGGGGUAUCUCUAUUUUGGAAAAGGGAACCAGACACCAACUAAUACUGGUCCAGUUCUUUAACAGGCCUUGCAGAAGUGUUUCUAAGUCAUAACAUCGAACCUAACACCGGCAUGCCAUCUUAAACAGGGUGACAAGCAAUAACUGCAAAAGUGGCAACGUUCUGAACAAGGCUAUUGUCCUUGACAGGACUGGAUGAAGGCAGUCAGCCUGAGCCCAACAAAUGCACAUAAGCAGGCUUGGGCAAAAAUUUCUGGAAUAAAAGGACCGUGGGGCUGUUGCUCUACAGUAAAUAGUCAAAAAAAUAGAGGUACGCGAAGCCAAUAAGGAAAGAAGCGCAGCAUCGACGAUUUAACCUCUCUAUGGCAAAUUAACACUUCAAGAGUGCUAAAUGAUAUAUCUGCAAAAGUGGCAACGUUCUGGACAAGGCCAUUGUCCUUGACAGGACUGGAUGAAGGCAGUCAACCUGCACUUGAUAAAUAUACACAAGUUUUUCCCAGGACUUCAGUACAAGCACUUGACGCGAGCAAGUAACAAAGUACAGCACCGGCGAUUUAACCUCGCUAUGCAUGGCAAAUCGACAACCGAGGGCGCUAGAUGAUACAAUGACAAGAUCUGCGAUCAUUUGUGUCCGAUGCAUGACCUGCCACACAACCCAGUGCAGAAAACAGCGACACCGCAUACACAAAAUGAGUUCCUUCUUUCCGGUCGCCAAGCUACGAGCUACUCUGUUGGACAAGGCCUUCUAGCACAUACGUGGUGAAUCAAACUCUGGGGCGUGACGCGCAACUGUACUGAAAUACCGCCGGUCAAGGAAAUUUAUGGUGCCCCGAAAUUCCGCCCGUUCCUGGCGAGCACGCGGCUAAAGCUACCGCCGCUCGUCUGAGGCCUACCGAGGCCGGAUCUAGACGGCGCGCCCGAGAUUCGUGGGCGGCGGCGAGGGCCUGGCUAAUCGCUGGAGCUCGUACCUCGGGAUCGGACGGGGUCGCGGCGAUGCGGGACGCGGCCGCGCGUGGGAGGCGGAGGAGGCGACGGAGACGCGUGGGAGGCGGAGGCGGGGAGGGGUAUGGGGAGCGAGGCCGGCGGCGGCGAGGCCGGGCUAGGGCACGGCGGUGGCUGGGCGGCGGUGGUAGGUCGCCAGGGGAGGGGGGAGGGCGACGAGGAGGAAUCGGCGAAGAAAUGCAAGGGACGGUGGAGGGGAGGCGAGCCGCGGUCUAUGAGUGGUAACUGAAUCUGAUUCCACCUUUUUUUAUUUUUUUUAUUUUUUUGCCACGAACGGAAUGGAAAAGAGGAAAAUGUACAAGGGAGCAUUCUGCAAAAAAAAACUUUUUUUCUCUUUUCCAAAUUCGGUCGCUUUUUGGGCCCGAUGAAGCGCAGAAUGACGGGGGCGAUUCAAAUGUCGUCACUGCACAUUUGAGGAACACGGGGGUAGAUUCUCUUUUUCCGGAAUUUGAAAUUUUCAAACUUCAAGAUGAUGAAAUUUAUCGAGCUCCAUCAUCUCUUUUGUUUUUGCACCUUUUCGUCGAACUACGGCUCAUAACAUAGAGCGUAAAAUACGCCGAUUUCAAGGAUUCAACGAUACGAUGAGGAACUGGAUUUUCAAGUAGUGUUCACCAUCAAUCAUCACCCACGGCCUAUGAUGGUUUACCAGAGUCGAAUAGCUCCCCGCAACAACAACAACAAAAUCGAAUAACUCAUCUUCUACUAACAAUAUCUUUAUUUAUAUUACUCUCUCCUUUUUUGGUUUGUAAAGGCAUAUGCAUUUUAAUUACUCUCUCCUUUUUGUUUUGCAAAGGCAUAUGCAUUUUUAACUCAGGUCAAACGCUUUAAAGUCUGACCAAAAUUAUAGGAAAAAUGAAAGCAUCAACAACACAGAAUCAAUAUCAUCAAAUACAUCAAGAAAUGCAUUCUCGUAGGAUAUACAUGUGGUAUAUUUAUAAAUGUUAAAUAUUUUUUCCAUAAACUUGGUCAAACCAUGAAACUUUUGAAAAUUUUGGCUUAGGAGAAAAUCGUAUGCCAAAUAGGGAGUACAUUCUUAUACCAAGGGGCUCCUCAAUUCCAAAGAUUUUUUUCCUGCUCUUUUUUGUCCCUCCUUUGAGUUUGAUUGUACCCCGAGUCGACAAAAAUUGUCGACUAAACAUAAGAGAUGCCUGUGAAAUUGUUAUGGACCAGAGAAAAUCCAAAAUUAAAGCCCCGUCCCUAUCUGCGUGCCUCCAUCGCGCGCGGACAAUCUGCUGAGAUCUGUUGAUACCAAAGUUCUGGUGCAGAGACAAACAAGAGGAUCAACAAAGGGGAUCAACAAAGGGGAUCAGGGAUAACUGAACACUAACGCACAAUCACUGUGCAAAGCAUACCGUACAUGAAGAUACAUAUAUCAAUAGAUUGCACUCUGGAGUAGUUCCUCCUCUUCCCCUCGACAGUCAGGCCUACAACAAGGGGUGAACUCUUUGCAACUCAGAACAGCAGGAUCACGUUGGUAACUGUGAUGCAGAUGACAGCCAGGGUCGCGACUAUCGAUCCCGGACGGAAGGCUCUGCGCAACCCUCUGUUCCUGGUGAAGUACUGAAAGGCGAGAUACACGGCUACCGCCAAAGAUAGUAUCCUGCCAGCUUGAGUUCCCCUGUGCACGGGAGGUAGGAAUCUGAGCGAAUGAGAAAAAAGUAAUACCCUAACAGAUACAGCAGUAGCAGUAUAGCCAAAAUAGGGAGAAUGUUUCAUACCUCAGACUCAUCACCUGGUAAGGAGCAAUGAUGAUAAGCCACAUUGUUGAGAGUGGAAGCUCCAGCUCACCUGCCAUAGACAUAAAGCAUGCGCCGUAAGUAACAUACCCCAGUUGUAUGUUUUAUCGAUUAUCCAAUCAAUGUUAGCCUGAUGUUUGAAUCCUCCUUGUCACUCUACCUGGAGUGGGUAAGAACAAGCGCACCAAAAUCGCUAGAAAAGCAGUCCACAGUCCAUAUUCUCUCCUAACAUUAGGAUUUGAUACCAUAGUAUAAGCAGGCCAAAAGAGAGUAUUCUUAUGUCAAACAAACGGGAAAUGAAUCAGAUAGCUCUUUGCACCAAAUAGCAGCGUCUUACUUGAUCCAUGGGAUUACACUGCUAGGUGCUUGCUGUGCAAACCAUGGCAUGAGCAAAGAUUUGUGUAUGCCAAUCUCUUUAGAAGCCAAUAGCACACUGCAAAAGGCAAAAGAGUAACAAAUAAACUGCUGCGCUGCGUUGAUACCAAGUUUUGAUGCCAAGAUGAGCAAGAGGAUCGACAAAGGGGGAGAGAAACUGGCCAUCAAGAAGAACUGAACACUAACACUGUAUCACACAAGACACAACUACUGCGCAAACCAUACCAUACAUGAAGAUACAUACUAUCAGUCAUGUCACAACUCACAGGUCAUUCUUAUUACGAUAAAACAAGCUACAAGGUCCGACAGGAUGAUGCACUACAAGGUUUCUCUUUAUUCAUCUGCGCUCUGGAGUAGCCCUUGGCAACUCAGAACAGCAGGAUCACAUUGAUAACUGCGAUACAGAUGAUGGCCAUGGUCGCAACUAUCGAUCCCUGAUCAAAGGCUUUUCCUAUUCCUCCGGUCCUGGUGAAGUGCUGAAAGGCGAGAUACGCAGCUAGUGCCAACGACACUAUCGCGCCACCUUGAGUUCCCCUGUAGAUAGGAAGUAGGACCGGAGAGAAUGAGGAAAAGUAACAACCAGGACAUAAACUGUAAAGCUAAGAACCUAACAUACGCAGCAGUAGGCUAGCAGUACAGCUAAUGUCUUUCAAAAUGGCGAGUGUUACAUACCUCACAUUCAUCACCUGGUAAGGAGCAACGCUGACAGCCAGCAUUGUUGACAGUGGAAGCUCUAGCUCACCUGCAAUAGACAGACGCACAUGCAUAAGUAACAUAUAUCUGUUCCAUGUCUCAUCAAAUAUCAUACUUGAUUUUAAGCAGGACGUAUGUAUCUUCCUUGUCACUCUACCUGGAAAGGGUAAGAACAAACGCACCACAAGCGCAAGAAAAGCAGUCCACAGCCCAUAUUCACUCCUAAAAUUAGGAAUAGACACCACAGGAUAAGUAGGCCAAAAGUAAGUGUUCUUGUCUCAAAAAGAAUAAACACCCAGUAGCUAUAGCAAGGAAAGGGGAAAAGGUAUCAUCAGAUAAUUCUUUGGGCCAAAUGGCAGAAUCUUACUUGAUCCAUGAGAUUACGGCGGUAGGUGCUUGCAGAACAAACAAUGGCACGAGGAAAGAUUUGUGUAUGCCUGUGCCUUUAGCAAGCAAUAGCACUCUGCAAGAGGCAAAAGAGUGAUAAAUAAAUGCUCAAAUAAUAAUCGUUGAGGGGGUGGAAGGUUACACUGUGUGCUUCUUCAGAAUAAUCCAAUCAUUUUAUGACAAAACCAAAUAUGUUGCAGAAUAAAAAAUCUACAAGGUGAAUAGUAGGAGCUGAGUUUUCGAAGAAUGCAUCACUUUCAGUUAUACAAGAUUGCCCGGUCCUCAAGAAAACAACUACAACUUGGGAGUCAUGGCCUGAACAGCCCCCCAGUAACUCAUCCAAGAUCUGAAGCAAGAUCACCACCUCGGCGUCAACAGUUACCGUCGCAACAUGAAUACACGCUAGUACUUACGAUACACCGGAAGCAUAAAGUAGAUAUACUACGGUUCUGUGGCAAGCUAAGCAAGUCACCAACUGGAGCGAAACCCCUGUAAGUUCUGUUCAACAGACUGAUGGUGUUGACGUGACUGGAAUUGAUACCUUGGGUCAAUUUCUGCGUUCGAGUAAUAUGACAUUCAAACUUUUAAUACGAAAACCAUGCAUUGUCCUGUGAUACAAAAGUGGCGCUAUUAAACACACGGUGUUAUGUUCAAGUGCAAGCAGACCGAAAAUCUGGCAUCAUCCGUCAUCACACCGUAUGGCGCUGCAAGUAAACUGUGUGUCUAGUUUAUUAAACACACCGUGUUAUGUUCAGGUGUAAACAGACUGAUAACCUGGCAUCGUUCGUCACUAUCUAUAUACUUCCUCCGUUUCUAAAUAUAAGUCUUUGUAGAGAUUCCACUAUAAAACACAUACGGAUGUAUAUAGAUGCACUUUAAGUGUAGAUUCAUUCAUUUUGUUCCGUAUGUAGUCCAUCUAGUGGAAUCUCUAUAAAGACUUAUAUUUAGGAACAGAGGGAGUAGUUCUUGUAAAGUGUGUUGAUGUUUGCUCCUGUCUCCAAGAGCUGUGAAAUCUCGCUGCCCUCGCAGGCAAAAGAGCGAGCAGAUUCGGAGCCCGGAAAGCAGUACUGCCGGAAAGGCUCAUGCGUUUCUGCACGGGCAAAUCGUGCCGGAGAAAGGUACUGGUUUAUGGUUGGGUAGCGACGACGAGGGGAGGGGGGCGAGGCACUCACGCGGCGGCCGCGACGGAGACCCACUGCGUCGUCGGCGGGCUGAGGUACGCCGACGCGUUGCAGACGAUGCCGCUCCCCCGGCUCCGGCAUGGCCGGACCAGCGACUGCGGCCUCAGCGGCAGAGCGGCGCAUCCCCUGCAAACAGGAAGACGAUAAGAUCACCAGACGGCGCGGUGGGUAAGCGAAUCGCACGGACGGAAGGAGAGCGGGCGCCGAGGGAACCCGGCAAGCAGGCUCACCUGAGCGCGCCCGUGGUCCGCACCGGCACGGCGGCCGCAGAGAGCGGAGAGCAGCCCGCAUUCCGCGCCGUCCGCGGCGGCGGCACGGGGCAGGGCGCUGCGAUGGGGAUCACGAGGCGCAGCGAGAUGGACAUGGUCGCGGUAUCUCUCGGCCGAGCGGGCGGGUUCGCCGGAGCUGGAAGCCUCACGGGCGGAUGAUGGUGCCCGUCUCUAGAAGAUUGUCGAACUGAACUGUAGCGGUACUGCUGGAGUGAUGAGGUAGGGGGGUGGGCGAGCGUGAGUACAUCAAUCAGAUCAGAUGAGCGUGAGGCCACGUGGCGGGGCCUCGAUGGGCGCGGGCCUCACGUUGGCGGGUGCCGACUUGCCGUGCGGCGACCGCGUCCACGGCCUCGGCCUCGGCUCCUGCGAUGCAUGCCUGCCGGUGAACGCACCGCACCGCCAGGGGAGAGGUGGUCGGCACGGACGGACGCAGACGGGCCGGGGGACGCGUCGACGGUACGUGCUAAUCUUCGUCCCACGGCACGUUGGGAAAAGACAAUGUGGCGAUGUUACGCGACGAAAUCGUCACUUGGAGCCAUGUAUGUACGUUACGAUCAGGACUAAUUAUCUCGCCACCUAACAAUAAAGGACCUGCACUGCACGCAGAAACAAAAAUGGACUACUUGUCUCAUGGAGCCAGUCACACCAUACAAGUACCCAUGGAGCCCGACUUUUGUAUUAUUUCGUGAUUUGAAUACAAACAUACUUAAAAAAAAAUGAACCCAUGGAGCCCCAAGUUUCAAACAAUUCAAAAAUCACAUUUGUGAAGUUUUAAAAAUAGACGUGCACAUCGGAUGUUGUCUACAAAUGUGUACAUUUACAUGAUAAUAAACUUUUUUUUGCGGGAGUUAUUUUAUUUUAAUACAUGAUAAUAAACGUUGUUAUGGCAUCUCUAACCGGUCAAUCCCUCAAAACAGGUUAAAGGAGUAAAAAUUUCGUUUUGAGGAGUUAAACCGGACAUAGCCGAACCCUUAUCCGGUUUUACCCCUAAAAGAUUAUACUCCUCACGUAGGCCGUCGAGUAUAUCUACUCGAUCGUGCCUCAACCUCGGGAUAAAUUUCCCCCUUCCCUGGACCACCUCUCUCCCUCGCUCACACCGCAUUGACGCUGGUCGCCGCCCAAAUCCACCCUGCACCUUCGUCGGCGCCACCGCCAACACCACAAUCUAAUGAUCGACAAGCAUCGCCCUCGAAGUGGCAGGAUCCACCUGCCAAAGCUCUACGCCGUCAAUUUGAGGUUUGAUCCGCGUCGCGGUGCGCAGCAGACCCGAGCACGCGGUGACGCUUCCCCCCUCCCGCUCCUCCACCAACCUACCGUCGUCGCCGUCGCCGAAAAGGAAGUACUACGGUGUAAGGCACCGGCCAUGGGGCGUGGGUGUCAGAAAUCAAGGACCGAGACACCAGUCAGCUGAGCUAGCGGCGAGGUACGACGUGAAGGCAGUGAGCCUUUAUGACAGGCAUGCGAAGUUCAACUUCCCCCUCGGCAGUCGCAAUGUCCUGAUGUUCAUCGCCAUUGACCCCCCAGCGGUCUCCCGCCGCGAGGUGCGGGGAAAUCGGAGGCCUUUGAGGGUCUCGAGAUGACACGCGUCUAUGAGGACUACAUUGUGGAGCUCUACCGGAAUCAUCCGGAGCUCGUCGUCGAGGAGCAGCGACGACUCGGGCUAUGCAAGGGGCUAUCAACGAGGCCGGACCAUCCGAUGGGGAUUUCAUCGACCUUUCCUCCAGCGACUCUGGCUUUGGUCUGACGACGGUGACUCAGACGGCUGCAUCAGUUGGAAGAAGCUCGAGAACGAAAGCGGUUAGUUAUUUUUUGUUUUUAUUUUGUUUGAAUCAUUUUAGUUGGAAGACACGCACGCAGACCGCCAGGCUCGGCUCGGAGGAGACGCAACCCGCGCGUCACGGCGCCAUGUGCGUGGACGCAAGGCCGAGACCUCCUCAGCGCCGUGGGUUAAUCGGCCGGCGAGACUAACCAAAAUAUUGUAUAUGGUACUGUAUUUUUCUGCGAGUGUAUUUCUAUGCUUUUACACGCACAGACUUACUUAAUGAACAAAAUAUUAGAGCAUACACAUAUAUGCGCAGCAUCCAUUAAACAUCCCUAAAAUAUGGGUGAACUGGUUGCUUUUUUUACUACAUCCAGGAUAGUUACACAAUGGACUAAGGGCAAACUGGUCUUUUCACUUCACUCUUAAACCAUUGAGAAAAUUCCUUAUUUGAAACUAUCUUAAAAUCUGCUUCACAUUGGAAAAGUUUUUCUUCCCUAUUUGACACAAGUUCUAAAUUUUAUUCCCUAUAUGACACAUUCGUCCAUUUUAAACCUAAAUGACACCUGAAAAGACUCUUUUGCCCCUCAUGUGGUAUGUGUGGGGGCAAUAGCGCACACACGCAACAUCAUGCGAGGACAGGAGCACACACGCAGCAACACAUACACAUGCACCAACACACACGCAACAACAUGCACGCGCGCGUGCACACACACACAACAACACAUGCAGCAGCAGCAGCACACACGCAGGCAGCACAUAGGCACGCAACAGCGCACACACACGCGCGCGUACACACACACACGCAGCAGCAACACACAUGUGCGCGUGCAUCCACACACGCAGCAGCACACGCGCGCGCGCACACAUACCGCAUGAGGGGCAAAAUCGUCUUUUCAGGUGUCAUUUAGGCUCAAAAUGAACGGAAGUGUCGUAUAGGGAAUAAAAUUUAAGACUAGUGUCAAAUAGGAAAGAAAAACUUUUCCAGUGUCAAGGAACCAAAUUUUAAGACAGUGUCAAAUAAGGAAUUUUCUCUAAACCAUUUAGUGUCUAAAAUGGAAAGUGUCAAAUAACGAAGGAAUUUUUUUAAUUUUGGACCAAAUAGAGAAUCAAAUUUUAAGAAAUGGCCAAAUAAGGAACAGUUUGUCUAAUUCACAUCUAGAUGUUUUAUAAGGAUAUCACAUCUAAGAUCCCACAAAUAAGGCAGUAAUAAGAAAAAAAAGCUGAAAAAAAAAUAGACCACAAACAUAGUGGACAUCAGGUUAGAUGUGUCCUAGACAGACCCAAUAAGGAAUUCUCUCCCUAAAUUUAAGAGUUAGGCUAGGAACCAGAUUUUUUUGAAACUUUAAAAAUUGAGUUUUGAUUUCUUUUUCAAAUUUCCGUUAGCAAUGAGCACUAUGGAUCAGGAGCAAUGUGGAUUAGGAAUCUCUGCUUCAUCCAUCCCCUCUGCUCACAAAGGCCAAAGCGAGCUUUCUAGGUGGAUCGGACUUUGUUCGUCCCUCCGGCGGCUGGCAAAAGAUGCUUCAGUUCAGUGGCUUUGAUGAGCCGAAAUACAUAUUCAUUUGCGCAGAAAGUUAAAAGAAUUAAUCGGAAAGUGGAUGAUGACGACCAACUCCAGUAGCAUGCCCAGCGACUAAGCCACUACUACUGAAGUCAGUCGCUAACCAACUCGUUGCAACAGAUCGAUCCUCACACGGUGACAAAGACAUCUCAUCAGAUCGGAUCAGAUCAGAUAAAUGAACAGGCAUAGCGCAGCACCUCAACACGCUUCUUCUUCAACCGAUGGCAGUACAGAGAGAUCCGGCAAGCACGGAUUACAAGCGGAUUACAUGGAGGGGAUCGAUCGACCGAGCAAGAGAAGAGUACGCAGACAGGCAGGAGCUAGGCUACUGGUAGUACAUGGUGUAUCGAUCUAUCUAGCCGGCGUAGAUGUGGAUGUGGAGGGCGAGGGUGAGGAUGGUGAAGGCGGCGAAGAAGAGCAGGGUGUGGACGAAGAUGGCCUUGCCGUUGGUGUGGAGGCCGCCGAAGUCGACGUGGCGGUGCGACCCCGGCAUCUCGAACAGCAGCCCCGGCGACAGCAGCACGAAGAGCACCACCCCCACCACCACCGGCGCCCAGUCCGCCAUCCUCCGCCGCCUGCUCUCCCUCGCUUCUUCUUCUUCUUCUUCUUCUUUGGUCGAUCUGAUCUGAUCUCACGGCUAUGAACACACAGAAGUACUCGGGAAGACUCGGGGGAGAGAGGGCGAGUGGAGUGGGGGAGUGGAUUCUGGAGUAUAUAGAAAGGAGGCCGCGAGCGGCGGAGCAGGGGAAAGUAGGAGGCAACAAAGGAGCAGCCGUCACGGUCACGCGGACGGUUGGCGCGAUUCGAUGCCUUGCAUCGGGUGGGAUGCAAGGCGCGCCGCCCAGCCGACACCCGUGCGUGCCCAGUGUACCUGCGCGUGUCGUCCAGAUGGUGGGGGGUGGCAAAGGGGGAGGUCAGGUGUACGUACCGUGUGAAAGGGGAACAUACCGUGUGCGGCGUGCCACGGAGUACUACAGAGCAAUGACAGCCAUUGGAUUCGUAUCACACCAACAUGCUCAGUGUGCAAGCAUCCACUUAGCUAAUGUCAUAGUACAAGCCACACUAGAAAAGUGAUAUAUUACAAAAGGGAGACCCGUUUCCAUGGCCGUGAUUGCUGCUGCGGUCAUGGAGCCUAUGUUUUUUUCGUUUCAUCUAUUUCCCCUCACCUAUUUACUCCCUCUGUUCGGAAAUACUUGUCGCCAAAAUGGAUGUAUCUAGAACUAAAAUACAUCUAGAUACAUUCAUUUCUUCGACAAGUGUUCACAUUUCCGAACGGAAGGAGUAUGUGCCAUUAGUAAUUUGUCCCAUGGAUCAACGGAAAAUUGACUAGUGGAGCAUCUUUUAUGGGCUUAUACAAUCGCGUCCCUUCAAUUCUGCUCGCACGGUUGCCAAUACCCCGUAGCACGGUAGCAUGGGAAGGCCCGUGUCACCUGAUAUGCUGUCUGUGGAGGGGUACAAGGAAGUGCCCCGUUUUUCACAGGACUUAGCGGCACAGUCGGCCGGCCAUGCAUUUUUUACGAGUGUGGGGGCGGCUCAGGGUUAAACGAGGAGAGAGAUGAUUCACACUUCUCAUUAGGGUGAAAAAUGAAAUGGACGCCCGCACGCCGGCCACGAACCGUCUUGGCGGGACAACUCAACAUGGAAAUGGGCCCUGACACCCGCAUUUCUGUUGGUUUUUUUCUUAUUAGGGGACGGGAUAGGCAUCUUUCUAAACCCGCAGGGCUGUUGAUGGGUACAUUAUAAAACCUAGCAUGUUUCAUGGGUUUAAACCCGUUUUAGUGGUACUCGAUCCCGAAACCCGUCAACAUAAAUCCAUCUACUCAUCCAGCCUCGAGGCCCAUCUAAAUACACGAAUACGAGUACACAACCGGCCAGGCGCCCCAGCCCCUCGAGUGCACGAGCACCCCUCGCUCGUUCGCUUGAGCCGUCUCGCACAGGGCACAAUCGCACACCACACAACACACGGGACACACACAAUCCUAAACCUAAAUCUAGUCCUUCCGCCACCGCGUGAGCUCGAUCCCAUCUCGCAGCGCUGCGCGACCACCUUCUGUGCCAUCGAGCCGCCUCCCUCCAGAAACCCUCCACGCGUCCUGCAAUAAGAAGAAAGGGUGCCACCACCAGUGACGAACUCAGUGGUGGCGUCUACCGUGGCCCAAGGAAGAGUAGGCCGAGGGCUUUCCAAUCCGAUCCCCAAGCCUCCAUCCAACUUCAACGUCCGCAAGAAGUUAAAGACGAGGUGAGCAGCCCGGUCUUGCACGAUAUGCUCGUGGGGACGGGUUCCCUGUGGGCUUAGGGGACAGGCAAAAAACUAGCCCCGUGCACGGUGACGGAGACGAGGACGGGUUUGCGAUUUUCUUGUGAGGUGGGUUUGGGCAAGCAAAACCUGGUGGGUUUCGUCCCCUUUGUCAUCUUGAGGGACAACACAAGCAAGUUAAGAGCAUCUACAACCAGACCUCUCAAACCACCCCUCAUAUGCCCGCGGACGCGCCCGGUCAGUGACCGGACAGGAGAGAGAAGAAAAAACGUAAUCCAAUCGGACCCCCCAUAUCAUCCCUAUACGCCCGGGGGCUGUCCGCGAACCCUUAUAUCCAUCUCAAAUAUGGGGAGGAUAUGAGGGCUUGCGGACACGUCUGGGCAGUCCGCCACGUAGGACGCAGCCCCACCCGGACCACCUUUUUCUCUUUUCUUUAUUCGUUCUUUUAUUUCUCUCUCUUUGUCUCCAUCAAUCACGUGCAAGUGACCGGACAUAUGAGGAGAAAAAUAAGUAGUGUGGCUGCGCAGAUGGAUAAAUAAGGGCUCAAAACGGACACGUCUGGUCGCUGACCAAGCGCGUCCGCAAGCAUUUAAGGGGUCAUAUUGCUAUGUAGGGGUCAUAUUGCUAUGUCCGGUUGUAAAUGCUCUAAGCCCGAGAGGGGGUAGGUGGCUGCCCAUGGGGGCUGGAGUGGCGGCAGUGGGCGUAGUGACCAGUUCGAUCGAAAAACUAGCACAGUCGGUCUCAGCACAGGAUUCAGGAAUCCAGCCCUGUUACUAGGAAGACAGCACAGAUCCGACGAGCUUUUCAACUUCUUCUGUUUGUGCCUCCAUCUUUUCUUCUUGUCCACGCUCUCAUCCAAAAAGGUUUGCAGUUUGCACAUCAAACACACACAUAAACCAUUCACUUAGAAACGCAAACCAACAGCUUCAUGAGGUCCAAGCAAGCAACCACGGCAACAUUAAUGCAGACAGAAAGACAGAGGCUACUGGCAGUUAAGUAAGAUGCAUGUAGCACCACAAAUCUCUUUAUGACUUCUUACACCGACAAGAUUUGGGGGGAAAAAGCAAGUUACAGCACCUACAAGAUGCACUAGAGGAUGGAUGGAUGGUAAACAACUCCACCACUCCUCUAGGGAGGGUGGUUCCAGGGAGCCAAGUACACAUUGCAUACAAGAGCAAAGGCCUAACAGGGUAGUUUCAGCUCACAUCGUCUAC